Molecule: long non-coding RNA, 72883 nt
Filed under: Setaria viridis
Lineage: Eukaryota; Viridiplantae; Streptophyta; Magnoliopsida; Poales; Poaceae
Description: long non-coding RNA (SVIR_LNC002470)
Source: RNAcentral
UCUUGGCAUCUUCGCACACGCAGGCCACGUGCCGGCACCCCCCGGUGGCCGCUCGCCGCCUCGCCUUUAUAAGCGGCCGGGCGGGCGGAGCUCAGCUCAUCGCACUCAAGCUCACCCUGCAACUUGCUCGCUCUCGUCUCGGCUCUGAUAUUUUCUGCCCUGCCCUCUCGCUGCCCGGCGUCAGCCUUCCUUGGUCGGGAGACGAAGGAGAGAGAUAAAGGAGAAGAUGUCGGACGGCACGGCGACCUGCAUCGACAUCAUCCUCGCCAUCAUCCUGCCGCCGCUCGGGGUCUUCUUCAAGUUCGGCUGCGGGGUCAGUAAAAUCUACUAGCUCUGGUUCAGAGCUCUUGCUGACUCAUUUGCACCCCAGCGUGCUCAAAUACUUGCAUGAUACUGUGCGCUGGUUUAUGACUACUGUGUUCGUGGGGGCUAUAGCUGAUAGAUGGCUCUUGCUCUGCUUGCAGGUUGAGUUCUGGAUCUGCCUCGUCCUCACCUUCUUCGGCUACCUCCCCGGCAUCAUCUACGCCGUCUGGGCCAUCACCAAGUAGAGGGGCCUCUUCGAGGUACUAUUCUACAUGCACCUUCUUCAACAACCUGUUACUGUGAAACUGCUCGUGUAGAGAAAAACAAAACACGCACCUCGCUUCUUGAUGCUUCCAGUGAAUUGUUGCUUUAAUUUCCUUUUGAUUAUGGGCAUGCAGGUGAUGAUGGGGCCGGGCCUCGUGCGUGUGGUGUCCUCGUCGUGCCUGGUGUGAUCUGCAGUCGUUUGAGAUGUAAUUUCUUCUAGUUUCUCUUCCCUUUGGCUGGAUGGUGCGCACCGUGUUCGUCCCUCUCCGCGGGAUACGGGCUGCACCUCCUCCGAUCCAUUGUAUCGCCCAGUUCCUCUGCACAUUUCCGUCCCUGUACUUCGAUUGAUUAAUUAAUUCGUCCGUUCUUUAGUGGAAAUUAAUUCUCUGCUUGUUUGGCUGCUUGAUUGAUUACUUAAUACUGUUUUUCCUUUCUUUUUCAAUAUCUUUUUUGUCUGUUUGCUUGGCACUCUGGGAUUGGGAAUAAAUGAAUAAUCACCCAUGGUUUGGUGAGCUUAGGCCUUGUCUAGUUGCCUGAAUUUAAGUGCCCAAAAUCACUGUUGUAGCACGGUAGCACACUGUAGCGUUUCGUUUGUAUUUGUAAAUUAUUGUCCAAAUAUUCACUAAUUAGGCUCAUAGAUUCGUCUCGCAAAGUACAACAAAACUGUGCAAUUAGUUUUUGAUUUUAUCUACAUUUAAUACUCCAUACAUCUAUCGUAAGUUUGAUGUGAUGGAAAAUCUUCUUUUUUGCAUAUGUCAAAGUUGGGAGUUUGGGGAAAACUAAGCAGCCCUUAGCCUCUUGGGGAAGAAGGGUAGCUAGCUGGCUAGGUGCUCGUUCCAAACGGAACGGGCCUGUCAGAUCAAACGGAUCACGGAAAGGGUAAUAUCUAAUAUAAUGGCGUCCAAGAAAUAAUACCAUGGGCGCUUGUCGCGUUUCUAGCGGGAGGCUAGUCCCCGUCGAGGCUUUUUUUUUUGUUCGUAUAUCGAUUGAUCCUAUGAAAUCAUAUCACUUACCUUUUUAUUUAAAAAAGAAGUGAUUUUUUUUUGCGAAUCAAAGAAAUUAAUAUAUUGGCGAUCCGGUGCUAGCAGGUGACGAGUCAGAGAAUGCCAGCUGACCCCUGGCGGCUGGGCGCGCCUAGUGCCCGAUCCGGACGUGUCAUGUGAUUUGCUCCACCUGUCCGAUCCGGACGAUGUACUCCACCUGUCAAAUGUGAACGGUGAAAAUGAGAGAGAGAGAGAGAGAGAGAGAGAGAGAGAGAGAGAGAGAGAGAGAGACCCGUGUCUCGAUGCUAGUCGUUGUCGAUACUAGCGAUGGGCAGAUACAUUGGCAUCUAGUAGCAGCUUUGGUCGAUUAAAGAAAUGGCUGGUCGUGUCGCUGUACCUGGCUGAGCGGGAGGCGAGAGCCCAGCGGCGACGGGUGUCUCUGCAGGUGCAGCGCUGCACACACAGAGCAGCAGCAGCAGCUGCAUCCUGGGGGAAACGGACGUGCGGAUGACCGCGCGUGCCAUGAAUUGGGUUUCGCUUUCCCGUGUGAGCGGACUAGCAGACCAGCUCACGGCCGAAAGCAACCGCCCAUCUAACAAUAGCAGCCUCCGCCCCGCCCCGCCCCGGCCGGGCGCCAGACGCGAGCCGAGCCAAGUCAUGACGCACUGGCACAGACGUUGGCGCAGCGGAUCGGAUCGCCAGACCCCAGAAACGCCGCGCCAUCCUCGUGGUUUUCUGGUGAGUUGCGCGGGACCAGUGGCGCGCGCAAGGAGCCAAGGAGGGCUAGGCGCCACCGUGAGCAGGGCGCCGGGCCCGGGCCCUGUCGCACCAAGCGGGCAGGGGAAUCCAAUCUCCUUCCCCGCGCGCGGCGCCCCCACCGCCGCUCACGCGCCGGCCGAACCAGCAACGAAUCAUGCGCGCAACGGCAAGCUUCUUGGUGCGCCGCAUGUGCCCGCUCCGCAUGGUAACAGAACAGGAACAGCCUCCGCCGUCCGUACUCGUAGGCAGCCGCAACCGACAGGCAAGCGAAAGACGGAAAGGAGAAGAGAGAGGCGUCCUGAAACUUGUUGCCGGACGAGACGAGCGCCAACUAGUGCGUGGGCCUGAUCGCGUCUCCAUGGGCCGGCCGGGGGCACUGGGCUGUCCCCCCGCACACACAACAGGCCCAAUAGCUUAGAUUUUCAAACCUCUUCCCAGCGGCCCGCUUUCCACGAUGGGUUUGCACAAGGGGAUGGGAUUCGAUUCGACCAAAAAUGGUUUUGAAAUGAGAGAAUGGGGAAUCCCACUAUGCUUAGCUUGCAGUUGCAGUGUACCACCACCAGAUAAAACUGAGAUAAAACCGUUGACAAUAUCUAUCUUCGAGCAAAACUGUUCGAAGGGUCUUUCGGCACUUUUUUUUUUGCACAAAGCUUAAUCUGAGGACAGCCACGCAGGACAUCAAUUCUGAGCCCUGCAUAAUAGAUCAAAGUCAGUAUUUUGUCGAUGUCCCAGGAGCUAACUAUUUCAAAAUGCAUUCUUAAAUAUUACUAAAUCGGUAACAAUUUCAGCGCCCACCUACGAUACCCCAUAAUCUCAUUGGGCACUUCAAAUAGCACACCUCCCAGUUGAGCUAUAUUCACACGCAGGCAAUCAACUCCAGCUAGCUAAUAGUUCGAUCGAGCUAGCUUAUUAAUCUCGCAAGGCAGAUGUAAAUUUAGGAUUACCACAUAAUCACAUGUGGAAAAAAAUAUAGCAAUAAGUUCUAAACAUCCAAAGUCCACCAUGAAUAAAGCAUGCACGAUACACAAGUCAUAGCUGGUGGGUGAGCAGUUUACUUGAAUUCUCCCCUUCAGAAAUUAGAACAGCCUUGACCAGAAUAUAAAUUUAUAUACCACAGGCACUGCAACUUCUACAGUGGUACUGUAGUUGUUACAAGUCCCACCUCAGAAAUCACCUGCGUUGAAUAACUGACAGGUUUGGUAAGGGGCUUAAGGCUAUCAGCACCGCGUGAGCGGUAUACCCAUCUGCAAAAUCAUGGGGCCCACACGCUGUGCAGAUUUCCAUCCACGGAAUGCUGCCGUGAGGAGACCUCUAUACCCAUCUGCAAAUCCACGUGCUGAGCAACGAGUGGGCGUGGGGUCCCGUGCGCGGCGCUGGCAGCAGCUGGUGUGGGAGAGAGAUUGGGCUGGAGAGAGAGGAUAGCGUAGGAACACGCAGACGCUGGGUUUGCAGUAUCCCUGUAGGGAACGGUGACAUACAGAUUCAUAUAGAGACCUGCGCUGCAGCUACUCAACCUCCACAUUUCACGUACAGGCCCGCUUACCGCUCAACAGUGCGGAUAGCCUAACAUAAUUUGAGUGCGCACCAAAACAUGACAACACCACAAUCUGUUUACAUGAUAAUAGCACAUUGAUAUGUCAGAUCCUAUCCCUUGGUUAUAAUGCAAUGCAUAUGAAGAGUUGAUGCCUUCCAGUCACGAGGUAGUCACCUAAACCCUCUUUUGAAUUCCCCAGCAGGAACACCGAGGGUAGGGUAAACCCUAAACUUCGACAAGGUUUCUUGCAUAUAGUACCGAUCUCGACGUUCGUGACGCCUGCAAAGAGAUGCAAAAAGUCAGAUGCAUUUGUACCAAAAAUACGAGUUAUAUAAAAUUCUUUUCCCACAUGAAACUGCAGUGCAUAACCUAGUGAUGCAAUUUUACGUAUCUAGGUAUCUUACAUAGUGACCCUAGUAAAGUAAACCACUGCAGUUGUAAUAUUCAUCUGGGAGUUCCAAUUUUACAUGCUAACUAGAGUAGAAGCAAGCUAGUAUUGUUUAAACGCAAGCAAUGUUACCACACUAAAGAGAGAAUUAAAAUAGCAGCCAUCUUUUGUUCCAAUUUUACAUGCUAACUUGUCCUCAGAUUAAGCUUUGUGCCAAAAGGUGCCGAAAGACCCUUCGAACAGUUUUGCCCGAAGAUAGAUAUUGUCAGCAGUUUUACCUCUACUGCGUUUUGUUUUUGUUCGUCUUCACGCUGGGAUCCUCAUCCCGAGCUAUGCUGUUACAAAUCCCGAGCAUCCUUCCUGCUCGUUUGUGCUACAAAUGUAAAUUCUCCCGGCACAUGUUCUAGGGAAGUGAUCUGAAUACGGUUGCACUGACAUGUAUCCAAAAAAAUCUUUGCCACUGACGUUUAGCGUUGCCUAGAGGAAUUUUUAUGGAAUUGCCUGAGUAUGUAAUGUUGAUGCAAGUUGUUUUUCUUUUUGAAACUUAUUUUGAUGCAAGUUGUGGCAUGUGUUAAAUUUCAUCUUAGCGUUUUCCAUUGUGGAAGGUGAUCAGGCUUGAAUAUGGUUUCUUCUCCUGUUAACAGAAUCGCUACGGGUUAAGACAUCAUAAUAACUAGUAUUGGCCAAUCUUACCAUUGUACUGCUAUCUCUCAAGCUCGUAAUGCAGGACAGAUACCAGAUAAUCAGAACAAAUGGCAAGAUGAUUUUGGGGAUUAUGGGGUGGUUUUAUAGGUCCAACAGUUUACAUAAUAUUUUCCCCUUCAUAGACAGAUUAAUAGACUUCAUAUGUUCUUAUGUGGUUCUACAGUCCAGGUGCACAAUUGAGACUAUUUGAACGCAAAAUUUUGGUUCCACUCUUUUUUUAGCAAAGAGGUCCUCUUUCUCUAGCAUUGUGAUCACUGAUCAGGCGGCAGGAGAUACUACUUGGGAGAAAAGAAAGGUAGUUGUCAGAAAAGUAGAUGCUCCCUCGAAAAGCUGAAUGGAAUCGGCCAAAAAAUAAAUGCAGCAACCUUUUUUGUUUGUUGUUUGGGUUCCAAAAAACUGACUGAAAUCAUCAAAUAUUGCAGUCAAAAUUUCCCGUACCACAAAAUACUGUGAUUCAUUAUGUGUCAAAUUUCUAUUGGAUGGGAAAAUUAUUCAAGCCGCAAAGAAAAUUAGCCGAAUGUGUAGGUUCUACCAUUACGCUUUAUUCUGUACUUGUUGCUACUUGCUAGUAUAUGACGUCCGUUUUUUUUUUGGCCGUAUUAACAUUUGCUCGAACAGAGCACGCCCCCUGUUUCCAUUAAAAACCAGAUUCCAGCUAAACUAUCGUAUCUUCAUGUCCUAGGUUCACUGUAACAACAAGCUAAGUAGAGUGGGAUUCCCCAUUCUCUCAGUUCAAAACCAUUUUUGGUCGAAUCGAAUCCCAUCCCCUUGUGCAAACCCAUCGUGGAAAGCGGGCCGCUGGGAGGAGGUUUGAAAAUCUAGGCUAUUGGGCCUGUUGUGUGUGCGGGAGGACAGCCCAGUGCCCCCGGCCGGCCCACGGAGACGCGAUCAGGCCCACGCAUUAGUUGGCGCUCGUCUCGUCCUGCAAUAAGUUUCAGGACGCCUCUCUCUUCUCCUUUCCGUCUUUCGCUUGCCUGUCGGUUGCGGCUGCCUACGAGUACGGACGGCGGAGGCUGUUCCUGUUCUGUUACCAUGCGGAGCGGGCACAUGCGGCGCACCAAGAAGCUUGCCGUUGCGCGCAUGGUUCGUUGCUGGUUCGGCCGGCGCGUGAUCGGCGGUGGGGGCGCCGCGCGCGGGGAAGGGGUUCGCACAACGAAGCGUGAGUUACAAGCACCCGGAGCAAAAAUCUAUUUACACGCACAAGAGAUUAUCGACUCGGGAUCGGAUCUCUGCUAAUAAAACGAUCGGCACCUCGGCGCAGCAACAGGUGCAUACGCAUGCUCACAUACAUUAUAUAAGAGCUUGAUGAAACCUUAGCUGACUGACUUCUGACUUCAGAAGAGAACAAGAGAUGGCAGCCGAUGUUAUGGCAACAAAGCAGCUCAGGUUGGCACGGCAGGCUCCCCUACUACAAUUCACACAAUUAGAUGUGCACAGACGAUACUACAAUCUGACUCAACCAUACCAUAUGGCACGAGGAACAUAGAAUCAAAUUGGCUGUUGCCCAGAAACAACUGCAGUUCAAGCAACGGGUAAUGUUGCACUACAACAAGGCCUUCCAAGGAUUCAGGUACAGGAGAAGAUGGGCAACCCCAAUGAUCUGCACUGCAGGCAUCCCUUACGUUUAGGACCUAACUAAAAAAACAAACCAUCCCAAGUGCGGAGAGUAGUAUCUCCCUGGCAUAUGAUUUUUCUACACCAGUGAAUUUGCAUGUAAAGCAAUAUAGGGUAGUGAUCCAAAUUCUCAUAUGGUUUAAAGCACAAGCACAUUAGAAGCAAACUCCUAGUGGGGUGCAAAUGUCAAAAUGCAACAAGGUAUCACAGUUACUUGAGCUCUUUAACACAGCAGAGUAUCACAGUUUGGCAAGCUCGAAAGUUAUCAACCCAAUGGACAGCUAAGCUGUGAAGAGAUCAAAACCUCACUGCAUUGUAUGAUAACAAAAACAACAAUACAGCCACCGUUUUUCAAGAGUUCCAAUGAAAACAUCAGCACCGCCCCCUGCAACUUCAAAAAAGUAAACAACCAGCCACGGUAGAGUAUAGUUGUACCUACUGCGCCUCCUCUGCAUCUCGACUCUUCUUCUUUUUCUUCUCCUUUUUCUUCUCGCUCUUCUCAGAUUCCGCGCUGUCUCGGGUUUGAGCAAUCUCUGGAUCCGUGACAUCGCUUCCUUCCUUGCUCUUCUUCUUCUUCUUUUUCUUUUCGCUUCCAUCCUUCUCGUCAGCCACAUCAACCUUCUCCUCCUUCAGUUCCGCCGAUCCUGAUUCAGCCUUAUCUUUCUUCUUCUUCUUCUUCUUCUCACUCUUUUCCCCUUCCACUACCUCAGCAGCUUCCUCAACCUUGAUCUUCUUCACAGGAAUGGAAGCAUCACCAUCAUCAUUCUCCUCAUCCUUCUUCCUCUUCUUCUCCUUGACCUCUUCACCGCCGACAGCAUCCUGUUCCACCUUUGCCUUCUCUGGCUCAGGAGCAGCUGCAAUGCUAGCAAUCGAUACAUCACCGCCAGUGGGAAGCACCACAUUCCGGAGCCACUCAGCUGGGGUCUUCUCAUUUGGCUUCCCAUGCUUAUCAAGGAGGCCCUCAGCAAUCAGCUUUUUCUUCUUGAGGGCCACUGGGCCAAGCCCCCACUUCCUCGGGUAUGUGUCUCUGUCCAUCACAACCCUCUUGAUCUUUGCGACCGCACCAUGGUCACAAGUCGCCAUGACAGCAGUGGUCAUCUCAGCAAUACCUAUAGCAAUGGCCUCCCCCUUUGUUGUCAUCAGAACAACCUCCUCUCCAGUCUCAAUAUCAUUCUCAAACCGAAGCAACCCAGGGAUCAUGAGCUUAGCACCAUAGCAGAUAGCAUUCACAGCAGAGUCCUUCACAACAAGCCUCUUGUAGCUAGUAAGCAGUACCUCAAGCGGCAUGACGAUGCGCCUCAGGUAGGACUCGUCCUUGUGGUUGUCGAGCGACCACAUCGCGUCCAUCACAUCGUGCAUGGUCACCAUGUUGUCCUGCUCCCCCAGGAUCCCCGACCGGACACGGCGCAGCUCCUGCAUAUGGGCGCCGACGCCAAGGAGCAGGCCAAGGUGCACACAGAGAGUCCGGACAUAGGUACCUGCCUCACAGGAGAUCCAGAACACCGCAAGGUGGCGCUCGGGGUCGUGCUCCAGCAGCUUGCUCUCGUAGAUGGUCCGCACCCUGAGCUGGCGCUUCACCGCGGAGAUGAGCGGCGGGCGCUGGAAGACGGCGCCCGUGAGCGCCUCGAGCGCGCGCGCCACGCGGGCCGUGUCAGGCACGGCGGCGUGGAAGCGCGCGACGCAGACGUACUCCUUCCCGGCGCCCUGCUGCGACUUGACGAGGCGCGUGGCGCGGUCGACGCAGACGAUGAGGUUGCCUGUGACCUUGGGAUCGAGCGUGCCGCUGUGGCCGGUCUUCUCGGCGCGGAGGAGGCGCUUGAUCCAGGCCACCACCUCGUGGGAGGACGGGUUGGAUGGCUUGUCGAGGUUGAUGACGCCGUACCGGAGGUACUCGGCGAGGGGACGCUUGAGCGGCGAGUGGCCGGAGGGGAGAGGGGUGUAGUGGCCGGUGCGGACGUUGAGGCGGUCGUAGUUCUUGAGGAGGAGCGGCCAUGUGGAGGCGUCGAGGGACGGAACCAGGGACUGGGGCUUGAUUAGGUAGCCAUCGGUCUUCUCCUCGGCCUCGGCGAGCGAUGGCGGAUCGAUGGCGGCAGCGGCGUCCUUCGACUUGUGCUUCUUCUUCUUGGAUUUGGCUUGCUCGGAAGCGGGGGACGCGACGGCCGGCGGCGUGGACGACAUGGCGGCGGGGCGGGGGAUUGGGGGACUUGGGGAAUUGGGGGUACCUUCUAGUUGUCUCGGCGAGGGAGGGGGAACGAGGAAGGAGGGUUUAGGGUUUAGUGAGUGGACAAAUGGGCCGAUCGAGGCUCAUGGUGAUGGGCUUUUAGAAGGGCCAGGCCAGAUUAGAUGUUAAGGAGAAACGAAAGCUGAUUUGGCCCAAUGAUCUGGGUUGGGUAGUAAAAGUCAAAACUUUUUUUUAUCCAGGACCGUAUUAGCAGUGAUUAUUACUAAAACACAUAACAUUUUGCAUUCAUUUUUUUACAAAACUUAUUAUUAUUUACAAUGAAGGCCAAAACUAAGACAGAGACCAUAACAUGCUAGGCUCGAGACUUGAGAGUGAUUGUCAUGUAAGGUGCAACUCGUAAAGAAAGGCCUCACUCUCACCCCUGAAAAGCUUGUGGAAAGUUAGACAUAUGAAUUGCAAGAUGCCAAUUAGUCAGAGGUCAAAUGCUCAUAACUCAUAAGUGUAGCAAAAGAUGUCUGGCUAUACAUUUUCAUAUUUUCAGAGUUCAAACACACAUGUUUGACAUAUGCGUGAACUUGUGCCCUCUCAAUCUCUAUUGAUGAAUUGCGUUGACUUAUUGUUCUAUCAUCCACAUACACGGUGGGCGGCUGUACUUGAUGCUUGAUGGCGUAAUCCUUAACUAAGCUGGCGGCUGUACUUGAUGCUUGAUGGUGUAAUCCUUAACUAAGCUGUCAAGAACUACUCACUUGGCUACACAAUUAACAUCGUUGGCGGAAAACAAAAAAAAAAGAAACUGUGAAUUGGCUUCCACUCUAAAUCUCUAAUCACAUUGCAAAUUUAACCCUCGAAUACAAUUUUGUUAUUAUUAGGCCUCGUGCCAUCGUGUGUGUGAAGGGUCGAGAAUGGAGAGAGUCAGAAAAGGGUUGACCUUUUGGAACUUCACAAGGGCAAACAUGCAAUAACAAAAAUAUAGAGGGAUGGAGACGUAACAGCUCCGAGCUGAACUGUGAUGAGAGAUUCGCGACGACCUCCCAAAUGGGGAAACCCCGAGCUAAUCCAAACCCCCGCCGAUCUGAAUUCCCCAAAUCCCGCAACCGGAGCCCUAAUCCCUUCCAAAUCCCAUCUCCGAUCCAAUGCCUCCCACCGGCGACGACCCGUCGGCCGCCGCCGGCAUCUCCUUCCCCGACGCGGACGGCGGCGGCGGCGGCGAUUCUGAAGACGGCGACUUCGCCGACGCUCACCUCCUCGACCCUACCGAUCCGAGCCUCCACAACCCCACCACCUCCUCCGCCACCGGCCUGCCACACGCGGUCCCGGCGGGCGGGAGCGGCGGCGGCCCGGUCACCUCCGGCAACGGCGGGGAGCGGCGGCCCCUGUUCCAGCGGCUCUGGACCGAGGAGGACGAGAUCGUGAUCCUCCGCGGCUUCGCCGAGUUCACCGCCGCGCGCGGCACGGCGUUCGCGUCGCACCAGUACGACACCGACCCCUUCUACGAGGACAUGCGCCGCCGCCUGCAGCUCGAUUUCUCCAAGAGCCAGCUCGUCGAGAAGCUCCGCCGCCUCAAGCGCAAGUACCGCAAUUGCGUCUCCCGGCUCCGCGAGUCCGGCGCCACCUUCUCCUUCCGCUCGCCGCACGAGCAGGCCAUCUUUGAGAUCGCGCGCAACAUCUGGCGCCCCACAAAUAAACACGGCCGCGAUCCCUCGGCUGACUCUGACGAUGAAGACGCCGCCGCGAAUACCAGCCCCAAUGGGGAAGUCAAGUCGCCGUCGGGGCGACAGCGACGCCGCAGGCGCGCGACGGAUUUCGCGGCAGCCUCUGGCACUGCCCCUGCCACCAGCAUGGUGCAGCCCCCUCAGCCAGUGCAAUUGCCUGUGUCAGUGCCUGUCAAGAUGGAAGACUCCCUCCCAGCACUGCCCCAGACACAAAUGCCUGUGACAGUGACCAUGGAUGGCUCAGAGCCUCUCAGGUUGCCAGUCAUGUCACCUCAAUCAGGUGUUUCGGAUGCUGAGAAGAGUUGCCUGACUCCACUACUUAAGGAGAUGAUACGUGCAGUGAUAAAUGUCGGAACUAACCCCUUCGGCACAAAACUGCCGGAGCCGCCACUUGGGUUGCCCAUGGAAGGGGAGAAAUGGAGGAAGCAACGGAUUUUGGAGUUGGAGGUGUACUUGAAGAGGAUCGAGCUGCUGCAGAAUCAGGCAAAGGCAACACUGGAGGAGCUCAAGUCCUCAACCCCUGGGACUUGAUCCAUGAUAAGAUGAGAGCUCUUUCGUUUUAGGAUUCUUGUUAUGAUUCUUAGUGUAGAUGCUUAGGUGUUUUGCAUAUUUUUACGUCCAUAAAAGAAUAUUGUUAACUGGGUUGGGGCUUGGAACUAGUUUCUUUAUGGUUCUAAUUGUUCAUGUGAUAUUGGCUGCCAUUUCUGGUUUUCUCUGAUAGGUUCCUUAUGCUUUGUUUGCUUUGAUAGUGGUAUGCUUUGAGUGGACAGUAUAGUACCCUAUAGAAAGAAGAACAUUUGCAAUUAAUUUAUUAAGAUUACAGAUUAUUCUUAUUUUGUCUUGGCUUCUUAUUCUGUUUUAUGUGUGUUAUCAUGAAGUUAUAUGAUUAUAUUGAAGAGAUUAAACUGUUCCGUGGUAUUGAUGAUGGAUAGUCAUGUUUGGUAAGGUCAUGGAGAUUUUGUAGAGUAAAUGAGCACGAUUUUAUGGAUCUGCUUGGGAAGGCAAUAGGGAUAUACCAAGUGGUGAAAGCUUGACUUGUCUUGAAUUGUUGGCCAUGGCUAUGUUUCUUUCUUUCUUUUUUGUAAAGAUGCAGAAUUGCCAUGUUAUCUCUGCAUAAAAUAAAUGGUUAAUGGUCUGUCCCAUCUGAUUGCAUCUGUACUUACACUGCGAGAAUAUGGCAAAGCUGUAGGAGUAGUGUUAUGCUUGUUACUCAACAUUAUGCGCAGCCAUUCUAGAGAGCGGAGGUCGUUUUUGUGCAUCAAAUUUGGAGACAGAGCACCACACUUAACAGAAACUUGUAUACUAUAUAUCUGCACACAACAGAAUGUCAGAAUAUGACAGUAUGGCAGAUUAUUUUUAUGAUGUUGGUAGCCUGUGCAGGUGUAUGGUGGGCUUUACACAAGGGAGCCCUAAUCACCAGCUCACUGAUGUCCGUCGCAGCCACUACGCUUGUUGUUGUCAGAUCCUCCUGGUUUGUUCUAUAAGCCUUCUGGUACCUGUGUUCCCUCUCCUUGGCUCUGCUCUGCCUCAAGAGACAUGGGAAGGGAGAGGGGUAAGAAAAAAGAGGAAAGUAAAACAAGGGCCCAUAUACAUGCGCACUGCAUUUGCUGCUUAACUGUGGAACUUGGUUGCUUUACUCAGAUGGCGUCAUUGUGUGGAUUGAUUGCUUGGAAGUUGGAAAGAUUGAACAAUGAACGGAUGCUGUUUUAGUUUCGGUGUUGGUACCUUGUUCACCUUCGAACUGCAGUUCGGACGAGGGAGUUUAUGUAUCAUAUUGGCCUUAGCUUCUAUGUGCCCCCUCACUAAUUUAUUAUUGUGAAGUACCAGAACUGGACCUCUUCUUCUUCUGGCGAUCCCAAGUCCUUCAAUUUGUUUGAUAUGGUUUGCUCACUUCUGGGACUGACUGGUUUCUUCACGGCAGUUGUAAUUCUCCCAUUGCUCUUGGUUUAUACGGAAGACAUCAAGAUGAGAUGCAACACUUCGUCUUAUGAUCAAGGUGUGAACUUUGUCUGUAGUUACGUGUCUUAUGAUCAAGGUGUGAACUUUGGCUGUAGUUACGUUCUCUGUAGUUGCAUGCCUGGAAGUUCAUAUGUACCGUGCGAGACCCCUAAUGUAUAUAUUUUUUCCGUAGCGGGCGAACGGGAAUCCCGUUGCCCUAAGCAAUUAUCGUGUAUCGGUUUCACUAUUAUCGUGUACCGGUUUCUUGUGAGCGGUUGAGAAGGGUUAUAAAAAUGACACGCUCAAUUAACGUGGUUUUCUCAGUUGUGCAAGCGACCACUCAUAUUAUGCGCAUGGCUGCAUUUGCUCCUGAGAUUUGAUGUUUGACUUUUGGUAGGGUAUCGAUGUUUCAUGUAUGUUUGUGAAGAAGAGGUUCCUCGUAGAUGUGCCUGUCAUUGAGUCACUGAUUCGUGGGUCCGGUCCUAUAUGUUAGUCACCUAACUCGUGUUUGUUAGGUGCUGAGUUGAUGUUGCACCCGGCAUCAGCUUGCAUCGGUGACUUGGUGUGCCUUUGUGUUAAUGGAAUUUCACAGUUCCUGUGAAAAACCUCAUUCAUAUUUGUUUUUUUAAAGAUUCAUAUUCAUAUUUGCAGUGCUGGAAUUUUCUAGGACCGAAAACAUGGCCAGCUCAAUGCACCAUCGGCUCUGCUGCAAUUUUUUUUGAAAAAGACUCUGCUGCAAUUUCUCCUCCUCCAAGCCAAACGGGAAGCCAAGACUCUGCUGCAAUUUCGCCGCGUCUAUCACCUGACGAGCCCUUACAAUACUCUCCCGUUAGGAUUUUGGAGGUCUGAUAUGUCAUGCCACGUUAGGAUUUUGGCAAAUAUGCAAGGACUCGUAAUUUGUUAGAGCAUUUCUAAAACUAUCAUUUGAAGAGUGAUUGUCCGUAAGGAUGGUAAAAAAUUAAAGGUCAGUUUGAUAAGGUUCCAACUCCUCCUAAUAAGAGGAGAACCUGAAGCCUCUGAAGCCUCAUCUCCUCUUGGUCUCCCAUCAUCCAGAAAUUUGCAAAUUCAAAUUUGAGUUUCGCGCCGGAGUGACAUUAUGAAACGGUGACUGCACGCUAGAAUGCCAUUUCAGCUUUUCUAAUUCAUUUAGUUUCUUUUCUCCCCUCUUUAGCCACAGGAAAAGGCUGAAUUGCCCCCAGCCUGCCUUCUUUUCCCUCACGCAAGCAAAGCUUCACGGCGGCGGGCCUUGGUGGCACACUGGCACUCGAGCUUGAUAGGGAGGGAGUUCGAACCGCGGCGAGGCAAAAUAGAAGGCACGGAUGCUUGAUUCCAUGGCAACAAACUUGAUUCAGGCAAACAUUAGGUAAUGCAAAGGUCGAUUUGUGCUCCAUUGGGUCUCGAUUUGCUAGUUUGGAGAUUGAUUUGAGCUGCUAUGGUGUUUGGUUCAACAGCAUGACAUCCUCAUAUUGCUCCACGGGGCCUUCUUGUUUUCACAAAAAGCACCCAGUCAUCAUUAGCGAGCGCGAGGUCAAGUCUGUGAGAUGGGCAGUCUUGCGGCAAAUCUAGCUGCCGGUCGUCACAAGCUGCAGGCUGACCUCCAUCACUGGCCGUCGCAGGCCCCGCCAUUGGGGGACGCCGCCGCCGACUUUGCCUGCGCGAUGGCUCCUGGCCCAGCGAAUCAAGCCGGAGUUCGCUCCUCUUCGGCAGUUGGGCCCGUGGCCCCGUGCUUCAUCGUCGGCGCGCUGCAGCACGCCGCUGCGGAGCGGUGGGACGCUGGCUGCUGACGAUUCAGGCGGGGCUAGGCGGGGCCGAGGCCCCGUAUAGCCCCGCGUUGGCCGGCGGUGGCCCAGCUCCGCUCGUUCGUCGUGAGAGAUAGAACAAGGCUGGAGGAACGGGAGAAGGAAGAAAGAUGAAGAUAAGGUUCGAUCCAGCGGCAUAAUGGUCUGUUCACGAGCCAUGAAGUAAAGGAAAUCUUUAAAUCAAUUAAAAGUAAAGAUGAUGAAAAGGCAUUUUGGCGAAUGGCCACAGUUUUUAUAAGGUCAUCCGCAACAGUCCUAGCUAAUUGCUAGCUUGGAGCCAUCCAACUCAGCACUAAAUAGCUAACUACAUCUAUAUAGUGCUAGCUAUUUGUUAUUUUUAGUACUUUCAUGCACAGAGAAAGAACGGAUGUGGUGGCGAUUUGGCGCAUCGUCGCGCGUGCGAGCUGAGCGACGAGCAAGUCGCCGGCUUGAAUAUUUUGCAUCUUCUCUUUCCUCCACAUAGGAUAUAUGCUGAGCUGUACACUCAAAUAGCUAGCUGACUCAGCACCAUUGCGGACGCCCUAAUGCAAUCUAGCGAACCCAAAUUUAUGGCACUCGCGAAGUCCACGUCAGAGGACCCCUCAUCCAUCUUUUUUUAAAAUACGACCCGACAGAGAUUGCUAUUAAUUAAUAGUGAAGAGAGUUACUAAACUAGGCUGAAAAAAGAAAAGCAAAUUGUACGAUAACUAUACAGUUUUGCUUAAAAAGGUGAUCACUUCUUAAUUUGACAGAUAUCGCUCGAGACCUUACACCCGUUAAAAUCUAACAUCGUGCUUCCUCCUUGAUUUUGCGUAGUAGUUAGUCCAAGCUUUUAAACUUUCGCUGGAAAACUCUUUCGUUGCGUUCCUUCCAAAGCUCCCAUGACACAAGAAUGAUGAGGGAUUUCAAACCCUUCGGGGACGCGCCAGGCAUAGAUCCUAAUUGUAUCCACCGUUCACCGACGAAUAACAAGGUAGACUAAUCCCGCCUCGACGGAUGACAAGGUAGACCAAUCCUGCCUGGGUGGUAUGUGUGUGGUCAUCCACUCAAAGAUUUUAUUCCAAAGUCCAACCGUGUAGCGGCAGUUUGUUAGUAGGUGCAGCAACGUUUCAUCAUGCGUAUGGUAAAAUAUACAUAUUUUUUUAGUUAGAUCAUCCUGUUAUGAUUAGUCGAUCCACUGUCUAUAAACGAUUUUGGAAGGCUAGCCGUGAUAAGAAUUUACACUUUGGGCGCCCACUUCUUACAUAUGAGUCGCUCCAUCUCGGAUGGUGCUGACCCAUCAUCCCAUCGACCCAUCCCAUCUCAAAUCAUCCCAUCUCAAAAAGAAGGCUCGCAUCAUAACGCCCGCCAAAAAUGGCGGGCCUCGGCGGCGGAGGCUGGGGCGGCUACUACGACGAUGACGACUGGGACCUCAGCGCGGAGCAGCUGGACCAGAUCGAGCGGGACGCCAUCCGCCAGCUCGCCGAGCGGAAGGCCUCCUCCUCCGCGGCCUCCACCGCCCCCGUCCCCGCCCCCGCACUCGGGGCCGUCUCGCCGCUCCCCUCCCGCGCCACCGCGCCGGCGGCGGCCGCCUCGUCGCCUCUCGGGGGUAACCACCCCGCUGCCAGGGCCUCUUUGGAGGCCCGCUUCGGCAAGGUUAGGGCUUCUCUGCUCCGUUGCUGUUUUGUGCGGUUACUUGUUGGCGCAUUGGGGAUUGGCUCGGUGCUCGGAUUAGUGGAUCCCUGUGGCAAGGCACAUCGAGGACUUGUUGUUCGGUCAAUCCCCUCUACAAGUGGAUUGGAGGGGAUUUCGACUUGUAGGAGUUUCUUUGCUCCGAAGAUGUUAAUCCAUUCGGAAAAUGGUUCUCUUAUCUCUUUUCUUUUAAGCUCUUAGUACUUUGUAGCGACUUUCCCUCAAAAAAUAGAGUUAAUGAAGCAGUUCGUUACUGUGAUACGAGUUUCGAGUUUCGAUCAAUGCAUAUGUGGUGGUAUACUUGAGAGCUUUCUCAUCAAGUCAUUCCGUGGAACUGGGUUCUUUUGGCGACUCGAUUUUCAGUUUGAAGAAAUGGCGAUUUUUUCUGUGUUUUCUAAGUCCAUAGUUUCGUGCGCAACAUUGAUGCGACUGGUCUGUAACUAGUUAUGUUCAAUUUACUGUUGGGAUGUUUGUGGUUCAAGUACCACCAGGGUAGGUGAUAAUAAGCUCAAUCUUGAUGUAGGAUUAUUUCCAAUUUGUUGUCUUCAUCUUGAGGUCCAGUUAAAAAUAUCUUUUCUUUAACAGUCUUUUUAUAUGUCCUGCAUUUUAGCAUGCAAGAUUGAAAAGCAAACGUUAAUCGAUAGCCUUUUCUCUUGUCAAAAUAAAAUCGAUGGUUCUGGCUGGAUUAUCGAUACCUUUGGUGUUGAGAGGAUCACUGUUUUAGCAAUAGUUAACCUGUUAGACAUAGAUGUUUUUUACUGCUGCAGCUCUUAGAUUCUUUUAUAUUCCUAGCUUACAAUAAACGUGACCCCUAUACUUUUCAAUUUCACUUUUACUCCUUCAACUUAUUUCUCAGGUAGAAGCACUUUCUCCUAUGAGAAAUGCAGGUAAACAUCAUUACUCGUGCUUUCAAUUUGUCCUAUAACUAAUUCUUAAGUUUAUUUAUCCUUUUCUUUUCAUUUGCCAUUCAAGUGAAUAAUAGCCAGGGCAGUGCACCUAAGGUAUCUGUACAUCUUUUCCUCCAUUCUAGCGGUGUGAUUGCAGCAAAGUUCCCAUACCACCAGGUACAUUCCCCACAAUAGAUCUUGAAUAGGUUGUCAGUGUCACUGAGGUGCUGUUCGGAUCAUUAGUUCAUGGGCUAAACUUUAGCCCCUAAACUUUAGUCCUGCUGGGCUGUUUGGAUCCAUGGGCUAAACUUUAGACUUUCAUCAAACAAUGACUGAUUUGCCUCUCAUUUAAUGACUCCAUGCACAUGCGAGUGGGGUUAUGGGGUGUCCAGCGCCCGCCCCGAGGGACUUUAGCCCAGUUUAGGGCCUCUUUGGGAGCAAAAAACUUUAGCCCAGAUUUUAGCUAUUUGCUCACUUUAGCCCACCUGUUUGGAUCCCCAUAGCAAAAAAAUGGGCUAAAAGUGCAGGACUAAAGUUUAGCCAUGGGAUCCAAACAGGGCCUGAAUUGUAUCAAAAUAUAAUUUGCUUGCUUCUGCUUAUUUUUCAGUUACUUGUGGAUGCAUGUCGCAAGAUCCCGAAAGCCAGCUGGAAUGCGAAAGAAAGGUUUUCUUUACUUUUCACACACUCCUUUAAUUUCCAUGUUCAUUAGAUAUUCUCUUAGACAUGGAAAAACUUGAUGCCUGCUGUUAACUUCACUGUUUAUUCUGAUCGUUUUUUACUUAAUCCAAAACAAUAGGAUAUGGAUGUUCCCUCCCUCAUCUUUAUCAAUAGCAGAGGAGGUUCUUGAUUCAGUGCAUGGAUUAGCUGUAGAGGUAACAGUUAUCAUCUGUAAUCCCGAAAGCUAUGAUGCUGUUUGUUGCAAGAACGUCUUUUUGAUUAUUUUAUUUUAUUGCCUUCUUGCUUAGUUGGUUAACUUAUAUGCUAUUCCUACUCAAGUACUCAACUUCUGCAUAAUUUGCAUGGUUAGCCAUUAAACAUAAUCAAAUUCAAUGUAGCACAUAAAAAAGUAUGAGCAUGAAGUUAGGACAAAGCUGUUAUGGCCGCAAGUCCAUUUUGUGUAGUUCUGUGUGUUUUUUAAUUAUGUGAGGAUGUUUGCAAAGCUUGUAUUUUCAGCUUGCAAAAACUCAAUAGACACAAGUUUUAAGCUUCAUUAUGCCAUCCUCCAUAUCAUAGGAAGCUUUUCAAGACUCCUUUUUCUCGAACGUGCAGGAGAACUGCAUUUUUUAAUACUUCAAACAUGACCUAUUUUGAAAUUUCUGUCAUGUGCAGAGUAAUUUUGACUUCUGAGCAUAUAUUCAUUCUGAUCAUAUAGUGUACUUCCCUAGCAGGUUCGCAAAUUGGAUCCUCUAGUUCAGCGUGCUUUAGUGGCUGCUUUAGCCUCCAAAGAUCUUCGAGGUAUCAAAAAGUUUCAUAUUGUGCUUAUAAAAUUUACAUUCACCCGAUGCAUAGAUACUGUAUACUUGUAAAUUUUGCACCCACUUGUCACCAAGGUGUUGUCAGAUAUAAACUUUCUUUCUUUCUUUAGUAUCCGCUUGAAAUAUAUAAUGAAAAUAUGAAAAUCCAAAUAUUUCAUUGUGCAAUGCAGAAUGCGAAUCAAAAUGAUCUGUUAUUAAUAUUUUCUUUUGAAUUUUGGACUUGACAUUUUGCAUGCUGCUAACCUCAUUUUUCUUGGAGAAGGUUUCUAUGACAGGAUUCCCCCUGAAGUUGAGUCAAAGCUUAUGCCAUUUCAGCGUGAAGGCAUCAGGUGUGGUAAUUCAACAUUCUGAAACUCUAUUUUAUGCAUAAUGGUGAAAAAAUCAAUUCCAAUAUUGGCAUGUUUUGCAUUAUAUUGAGCUUAGUAACCCUAAAAUCAUUUUAUAGGAAAAGGUAAAUCACCGGUGGAUGGUGGUCAAAUAUUCCUCCAAAAUAUUUUUUCUGUUCAAUUUACAUCAAGUGCAUUACAUACUUAAACAAUGAGAAGAAGAAAUAGGCACCCAAAUUCGAGCUAGAGGGGACUCGAACCUGGGUGGUUAGAGUGCAUGACCACACCUCCCUCUCUAACUAGUUGAGCUAGGCUCACUUCCUAUGACUUGCUGACUCAUAAAGUCAUACUGUAAACAAAAUGAACAGUAUGUUACUCAUGCUUUUUUUGUUUGGUAUCCAACUAUUCACCAUAUCAGAUGCCAAAUCUUGAGCUUGGUAGUAUGGUAACCAUAAGCCAGGAGCCUAACUAUGAACUUUGGAUCAUUGCAUAAGGUUAAUAGAUCAUAAUUAACCGUAUGCUUCACAUAAUUGCAGGUUUGUUUUACAGCAUGGUGGCAGAGCCCUGAUUGCAGAUGAAAUGGGUCUUGGAAAGACAUUACAGGUAAAGCAUCGUCUCUGAAUCAUGAUCAUCAUUAUUUUCCAUAUUUUCUGCGUUCAUGACCUCCCUGGCCUGCACUUGAUUCCAAUUCUUACACUGCAGAUGGACCCAUCAAUCAAUAAUUAAAAGUUUGAUAGUUUUACCUUUAGCAUUUCAUGCUGAAUGGAUUCACAUGAUGGUAUUGAUUUGUGCUAUCGACUUAUGAAUCAUGAUUUUUGAGACUGAUCAUCCAUGGCAUUUAGUUUGAUGGAAGUAAAGCACGUUAGUUCUUUUAGGCACUAAUUUUUUUUUCCUAAUUUCCUAUGCAGGCAAUUGCUGUUGCUUCUUGCCUUCAUGAUGCCUGGCCAGUUCUUGUAAUCGCUCCAUCUUCCUUGCGAUUGCAGUGGGCAUCUGUAAGCUCCUCUUAUUUUUUGCACCUGGCGAUUUUUCAUUUAGCAAUAGUUUCUUUAUGGAAAAGGAAGAUCUAAACUUGAUAAUUUAUUGUUUUGAUAGAUGAUUCAGAGUUGGCUUAACAUCCCCAUGGAAGAUAUCUUGGUACAUCCUAAACUUUUUCAUUCACUAGUUCUCCAUUAGAAAGUUUUAUUCUGCUAGUGAUCUUGUUUAAUUAAAAGCACGUUCGUGAAUUCUUCUCCAGAAGCAAAUUAUCCCUAUAUUUGUUAAUAUCAUGAUGAUCAUAUUGUGAAAUACAACAUAAUGAAGAAAGAAAGAAACCAUUGAAAUUUUUUGUAAUUCCUGGCUAACCUGGAUAAAGUUCUUUUUGGAUUGUAAGCUGACAUAUCACUAUUAUCUUAUGUAUACAGGAAACUUGAUAUGGAAUAAACCACAUAGUUUGACAAGUCCUAAACAUAAAAUAUGCAAAUUUAUUUCGUUCCUUAUGCUGAGGAUAUGGAUUAUUGUCUUUUCAGGUGGUAUUGCCACAAACUGGAGGAUCACAUAAGGCUGGAUUCAGAUUGGUUUACUCAAACACUAAAGGAGAUUUUCGCUUGGAUGGGGUUUUCAAUGUGAUAUCUUACGAUGUAGUUCCCAAAAUACAAAGCACACUUCUGGAUUUGGAUUUCAAGGUAGAUUAUUUUGUCGUAUAUUUCAUUUCAUUUGAGAACUAUCUUCGGAAAGGUACGCAUAAAAAUCAGCAAUACAUGUGCCCGAUCCAUGACCUAGGCUACUGGCCCCCCUUAUACUAUUAUUGUUACUACUACUAUAGUACUAUUAGUACUACCUCUGUUUUAUUCUCUUAUCUAUGGCUUUUUGUCAGGGUUUCACCUCUAUCCUACCCAAACUUGCUUGGGACUUAAAAUUUUUUUCAUUUCAUUUGACAUCUAUCUACUCAAUACAAACACUUUUCUUAUUGAAUAUAUCCAGAGGAUUGAUUUUACACCUAAAUGAUUUCACACUUUUCUUAAAUUUGUGGUAGUAUAGGACCAUCAAACUCAUUUGAUAAAUAUGAGUAUUCAUGUAGAUUAGAGAUUGCUUGGCUGUGGAAGGAGGUUUCUUUUGUUUUGUCUCAGCACUGGAUGGAGUGAUAUUUUUGUACGUGUGUCUGAAGUAUUUUUACUAUAUUAUAAGAGUUCUGUUGCUGUCUUUGCAGGAUGGAUUAGUAUAGCUACUUAUUUAAAUUACGAAUACUUAGGAAGUUAGGGGAUCGAUUUAUCACUUGAUUGCACCGGAACAAAUAAGGUUUCAAACUAAACCUUCCAAAAAAGGAUCAAAUACUUUUCAUAGAAAAUAUCUGACCAUUUAGAGAUACAAUAAUGCAGACACCUUCCAUUUUGCAUGCAUGUACAGCUAGAACUAGUGACGCUAUUGUUUUCUGAUUCUAUUUAAUUGAAAUACAAAUAGUUAUAUGUUUAAUCUAUCUAUAACCUCUUAAAUGGUUUUCAUCCAGAUUGUUAUAGCUGAUGAAUCACAUUUUCUGAAGAAUGGCCAAGCGAAGAGAACGAUUGCUUCACUUCCUGUUCUGCAGGUUUGGUAUUUCUUAUGAGAAAAUGCUUUUUCUUUGGGAGCAUGAAUAUGAUGUCCUAAUUUGGACAAGACGCUUGCAUCACGGCCAAUUACAAUUUCGUGAUCCUCAGAUCAUUAGAGGUAAACAUCAUACUGAAGACGGUCAAAUGGGGAUGACUGGAUGGAUCAGGAUGAAUGAUAACCAGACGGGUGCUUUAGAAUUUAGGUCAAGAAAAGAUUAACUCAUUUUUGCUUUAGCAGCCAACCACCCCUCAUUUAUAGGUGUGGUUGCCUCCUAACAAAAUCUCUAUACCAAAUUUUGUCUUUAUCUCUUAUCCCUUACAAACACUUCUCUCUAGCAGACAAUCUGUUAGCUACACGAUAGACAACUAACCUGGGACCAAUACUACAGCACUGUGCAAUAUGAUUCACAUGAACAAUACAACUUUGCUCAUAACACAGACUUCACUUGAGUGGCGUUGUGUACUUGCCUAGUUCUUUCAUAGUUUGUUCUGGCAAAUAGUUCCAAACUUUCACAAAGUCCUGCAUGGUGCUAGUCUGACCGUGAUGAAUUGUUUAUAUAGUUUUAUCAGGUCUGGAGGCCGCAUUGUUUUUUAAAUACAUUAUUCUUGCUUUAGGAAACAUUGUCUUACCUGAUUAGGUGACCAGUAGGGGUUUCUACCCAAUUAAUAUACGGAUUUGCAGAACUAAUUGUGACUUACAAUCACAGAAAGCUCAAUAUGUCAUUUUGCUUAGCGGAACUCCUGCUUUGUCUCGCCCGAUUGAGCUGUUUACUCAGGUAAACGUUGUUUCCAGAUUUAGCUGCACAUGUUUAAUAAUGCUUAAAAGUAGAGUGACAACUAAUUUUUCUGCAUAUCCAGCUCCAGGCACUGUAUCCUACUGUGUACAAGAAUGUUAGCGAGUAUGGCAAUAGAUAUUGCAAGGGUGUAAGUACUAGAUUUAUCAAAUUACUUCAUUUUCUGUUGCCAACUGUGACUGAUAAGUACAUGAUUUUUCAGGGCUUUUUCGGGGUGUAUCAAGGUGCUAGCAACCAUGAGGAGCUGCAUAAUCUGAUGAAAGCAACUGUCAUGAUCCGUAGGUUGAAAAAAGAUGUCCUUUCACAGUUGCCUGUUAAACGUAGACAACAGGUAAUCUCAUGGGGGAUUUGCAUCAUCAUAAGAAAUGUUGAUUAACUUCAUUUUGUAAAUUAGAAAUAUUCCUUUUUGCUCAACUCCAAGAGUUCCAUUUAAACUGACAGUUACUCAGGUCCAUUGAUCACUAUCACAAACCUUUUAAACAGUGCCUCAUUGCCCAAUUGUUUCUGUGCCUUUUUAUGUUGGCUAUGCUUCUUGUUUCUUUGCAAUGGUUAAAACUAUAGCAUUGAGAAAAUCUGUUGAAUUUUGUUUUGAUGAUCUUACACACUGAGUCAGUAAGAUAAUCUUUUGGGGCAUAGCUUUUAUGUGAUCUUAGUUCUUAUUGUACUGGUAUUUUUCUUGAAUAUACACUACACUUAAUGAUUUCAUUUCUCGUCAAUCUUUCAGAUCUUUCUAGAUUUAAGUGAGAAAGAUGUGAAAUAUGUCCGUGCUCUGUUUCAUGAGGUAUUAUCUGUUUCUAUCCUUUCCCCGCAAAUGAUAUAUUGUAGCAUAUGAGAGCACAGAACUAGUUUGUGGUAGCGCAACCCAUCUGGAUUUCAUAUAGUGACAUUGUUUGAGCGACAUACUCCCAUACAUGAUUAUUUUUCAUUACUGAAGAGCUUUCAGAUGGUGUACUGGUUUAAUCAGUACCGAGUCAUAUGAUUUAUAUUUACUGAAAUUGCACAAUUGUCAAAAGUAAGAAUAUUUUAUUCUUCUCAUAUUAUUCUAGAAAAGUAAAAUGCUCGUUGGACUUUUUUUCUUUGCAUGUUUCUAUCAUUUAGGUGUUUUUGAAACGCUUCAUCUUCAUUUUUUUAACAUGGAAACAGAGGGAAAGUAUGCUCCCCUUGGUUUUUAUUUCGUUUCUACAUCAGUGCAAUCAUUUAAAUUACCUUUUUUAUUUGAAAUUAUUCUAAAGGAAAGUGUGAUUUUGCUAGUUGGAGACUCUGAAGAUCAAAAUCGAGUCCGCUGACUCCAAGGAGAUGAUUGACUCUCUCAAAUUUACUCAAAAGAACCUUAUCACUAAGGUAAUCUGGAAGUGCACCCCUUUAUGCUCUUAUAAAGUUCAUGGGCGUUAUUUCCUUAGCAAGUAUCCUACUUUUUUAUUUACUAUAAACCAGAACCAUGUAACUCCGCCAAAGCUGAAAUAUUAUUCUUGUCUUGGCAUGCGUUACUUUUAGUUAAAAUUACAGUUUCUGCAUUUUUUUAGGUUCUGUUGGCUUCUGGCAUGUGAAUUAGCCAAUUUGGUAAUACUGCAAUUUUAAUUCUGAAAUCUUUGGAUAGGUCAUUCGUUGAAACACUCACAUAAAGUUCAUCAUCUUUCUUUUUCGUUCUUCUAAGUGGUAAAGCUAGCACUGAAAUCAGGAGCAUAUUCUUUUCCAUAUUAUACAAUUGUAUUCAUCUUUGUUAUUUGCACUUGGCAUCAAGAUUGAUUCAUGUUAUACAUUUUUCCCCUUUCAUUUAGCUCACUGUGAUGAGUCUGUAUCUGAACUAGUCUGGAUGCAUGAUUCUGUUUCAUCCUUUUUCAGCUCUACACUGAUUCAGCCACAGCCAAAAUUCCAGCUGUGUUAGAUUUCCUGGGCACUGUAAUUGAGGUGAUUACAUGAUAUUAUGAUUCUGUAAAUUUAUUAAAUUGUCCUUUUGUUCUACCUUCAUGCUACCAUAUAUUGAGAAAACUGCCACAAACUUGCUAACUACUGCCAGUUUCAUGAUUCCAAAUGAUGAUUGUAUCUUCUUCCUGAAGCUGAUAAUCCUGUUGAUUUUUUUACCAACUAACUAGCUAUGCAUGGCACUCAUAAUUUCCCUGUGUUCCAUUUCCUUUCAUGGGGACCAUAUUUUAACAGUGUACGAUUUGAAAAAAGGAGGCAAUAUCCCUCCUUUUCAUUUUUUUACUGAGACAAACUUGAUGCAACUCUAGUUAGAGCUGAUCUUUGUUUCGUUUGUUGGCCCAUUAUUCUCAUUUGAAUUAUGGAACAAAACUUACAAGUAACGGCUAUUGCCUUACCUUCUACAUCCAGGCAGAUUGCAAGUUCUUAAUAUUUGCUCAUCAUCAAAACAUGGUUGAGGCCAUCGAACAAUAUCUCUUGGUAAGAAUCUAAUAAUGUAUUUGAUGUUACUUGUUUAUGAUGCAUCUGGACCAACUAUUUAUCACCAUAUUUCAGAAAAAGAAAGUGAAGUGUAUCAAAAUUGAUGGCCAGACGCCUGUAACUACAAGACAAACCUUAGUCACAGAUUUCCAAAAUAAGGAUGACAUCAGGGCAGCUGUGGUACGUUUUUACCCAUCUUCUGUGCUUAAUAUUCAAUUUUAGUUUUUUUCUCAAAUCCUUCUUAAUGAACAUUAAGUUUCUGGCAGAGUUGUUGAGAAUCUUUUUUCUCUAUAAAUUAGAAAACAAGAAACUGUAUAUUGAAGGUGAUAACUGGUGGCUGAUAUUUCAAGCUCCAGCAAUUAGUCACUGUAUAUUCUCUAUUUUUUUUUUUGAAAUUUGCUGCCGUUCCUGCUCAAUAAUCUAGCUGUGGCAUUGUUGGCUGGAAUUGUCAGCAAUUGUAUACUUUUAGUUUCUUUUAGGAUAACUUCUACCUUGGCAAUAGUAAAUUUGGGUCCUUAGAUAACAAGUUGUUUCUAUGAAGGUUUCAAAACAUUUUUAGUUAACUGCCACGAAAUACGUGGUAUUAUGCAAUGUUAAAAACUAUGCGGAUAAUUUUCUUUUAAUCAAAUUUCCUGUAGUGUGUUCUUGGUUAAAAUCUAAUGAGAGCCUAGAACUGUAGUUAUCCAUCAGAGCUGGAGGCUACGGGUUAACUUUGACAGCAGCAAGUACAGUAAUCUUUGCUGAGUUAUCAUGGACUCCUGGCGACAUUAUUCAAGCUGAAGAUCGUGCCCACCGGAUCGGUCAAGUGAGUAUCACACUCGUGAUUUUGUAGCCAGCAGAGCCCUUUAUUUUUUUGCUGUGAAUUUUAUGAUUUGUUGAUUUGAUGGGACUGCAUCAAUGUUUUCUGUGAUAAUUUAUCAGUAAGCAUUUUUAAACAUUUAUGGACCUUCAGUUGAUAAUUCGAAGUUCCACUCUUAUUUUCUUAACAAUUCCAGGUUUCAUCAGUCAACAUUUAUUACCUUCUCUCAAAUGACACUAUAGAUGAUCUUAUGUGGUAUGUCCUGAAACUUUGUUUUCCCUAUGUACAUGUAGUGAUUUAGGUCAUGUACUCAGUAGGUUUUUUGUUCUGGCUUUGCUUCCCAGGGACGCUGUUCAAGGCAAACUUGAAAAUCUGGGACAGGUUCUCUCCCUCCCUCCCUCCCUCCCUCCCUCCCCCUCAUAACACUAAGUUUUUUAUGACAAUGAUCGACACCAUGAGUUCGACUGAGGAAGCAAUCCUUUUGUUAUGUUCUUCAGAUGCUGGAUGGGCAGGAGAAUACGCUGGAUGUUUCCCAGAUCGACUCCAGGCCAAGCCCCUCAAAGCAGCAGAAGACGCUUGACGGCUUCCUCAAGCGGUGCAGCACCUCCACGGAGGGUCAGCCCAGCACGAAGCACCCUCGGUUCUGAGGGACCAUCGCGGAUCAAUGUGUCGCUGUGAACGCGUAGGAAUGGCUGUGCUGUAGGUUCUGUUUGGAUUACGGCUGAUGGUAGCCGUGGUUGCACCGGCAGGGUCGGUUGCAGUGCUGUUGUAUUUUGGCUCUUGGUUGGUUGUAAAUGCCAUGUGGAGUUCUUACAAAUAACUCGGGUUUGUAAAGUAGAUCAUCAAUGAUCCACAUGUUUGUUAUGCUGAUUGCAACGUGCCACCCGUUGCUUCUAUUCUAUUCGCAUCUGCUUGUGCUCUUCAAGCCCUGGCGAUUUGAUGGACCAGAUUAUUUCUUUGACUAUCAUAGACUCGUACUAUGAAAGACUUUGAACUGAAAGGUAGCACUAGCUCUAUCAUGAACAAUUUAGCACCUGAUUUGAGUGAAGUUGUGCAAGUUGGAGUUGUAUUUGUUUGAUAUGUAUUUAUAAUUUUUUAAAAUGGGAAGAUUUGUAUAAAGUUAUAGAGGAGAAUUUUUUGACUGAAAGUUGAGAGGAGAUGCUAGUGCCAUAGAUAGGCCGUACCAGAAUCACCCUUUUCUGUCAAAAUGCGAACGCUUGGCGGGCCUGUAUUAUACUGGAGAAAGGCCUACUUGUAUCCCGGGCCCGGCCCACGCAAUGAAAACCUAAGCAGCUCGAGCGCUUGUCAUUUUCCUAGCAACGGGCAGCUCACCUCGAGGCCACCUCGAGGCUGCGACGGCCGACGGCCUCGGGAGAUUUCUCCAGGAAGAGUGUUAAUGGGCCUGAAGUUUAAUGGAGGAAGGGCCUCCCAAAUCCUGGCCCACUAAAUGAAAACCUAGGCCACGGAGCUCAUCUCAACGCCGCCUUCCUACGCUUGCCAAUUUCCGCCGACCGAAUACAGCCGGCGGUGACCUCGACGCUGACACCUGUGACGGCUUGAGGGGACUUCACCCGGCGACCUACCGACGGCUGACCUCAAUCCGGCGCCCGGCGGCUUCUACUCAGGUAAACCGCUGAGGAUUUGAGGCUCGCGGUUCGAGUUUCGCGGCCUUAGCUUGUGACCCUGCGCCGCCAACGGUUCCUGAUUUAGUCACUGCACUUCGAUCUUGCAAGUCUCAAUUUCUCAAUGUUCAGUUUCGUAAGCGUCCCUGUUCUGUCCUUUGCAGUAGCGUUCCGCUCUCCUGGGUAUUGGGCUAUUGGCAGUCUCUGUUUGGUGCCGAUGAGCAAGAAGAGGAAGUCUCUGAAGCCAACCAAGUCGUUGAGAGAUGCUGAAGAAGUGUAAGCGCUUUGCCCCAUUGCCAUAUUAUUAUUUUCCUGGUUAAUGAUUUCUGAUGCUCUCUUUCGAUUCCUCACGCUGCUAUUUCACUGGUGUACUUUCGUUAUGCAGACUAACUCCAGAUUACAUUGUAGGAGACGCUCUUGACGACCUAUUGUCGAAACUUGUCAGGUAACAGCAGCUAUCACUCCUCACCCCCCCCCCCCCCCCCCCCCCCCCCCCCCCCCCCCCCGCGUCGCUUCAUUCUGAGAUUGAGAAAGGCCUAAAAUAUUUUCUUCUUCAGGAGUGUAGAGGUUGCAAAGGCUUCAAGGGGAGGUUUACCAGAAAAUAUAUGGAUGAAGGUAUGUUAUCCUUACCUGGCUUCACCAACAUUUUGCCAUCUGUUCUCCUGAGCAAGCUCAGUACAUUAUGUUUUUUUUUCUCUUGCAAUUAUGAUGUUUUGCCAUUGCAGAAACAAUUUGCUAUCGGGGUCAAUGAUGUGACAAGGGUUCUCGAGAGAAUGCCUCCCGCUGCUGCCCCUGAUUCUGCUCACAGUUCUAGUGAAGCACAAACUGUCUCAGGUCGGCGUAGAGCUCCUUUGGUGCCACUGCAGGUUAGUUUUCUUUGCAUCUAUAAGCAAUCUACCUAUGAAUUUGGACUACUGGAGUUUCUUACGUAUAUAUGUUAGGUGGAAUGAGAUGUGAUCGUAAUUGCAGCAUAUUUGGUCUAAUCCAUUAUGCGUUUUAGUGAAGACGAAGACAUCAGUGUGUUACUGCUUCCCUAGGAAAAAAAUUCCUGAACUUUGGUCACUUGAACAUAUUUUUGUUGCAUACUGUGAUGUUAUGCCUAAUAAUACAUUAUUGCAUCAAAUAUAUACCAUCUUCUGCAAAGUGCAAACAUAUUCAUUUGUAUUGUUUUACUUCUACAUCAUUAGCUUAUUCUGUUUCAGCUCUGUGGGCAACAAUUAAAUGAGUCAAUUAGGGGUAUGUGGUGAUCAUGUUCAGUCAAGAGCAAAGAAGGGCAAUUUCAAGUGCUGAAUACAUCUAUGACCACAAUUUGAUGAGGAAUUCUGAAACUGACAAAUAUGCCUGAUCUCAUAAUGCAACAUUGCAGGCUGUCCUUGUAGCUGCCGAUUGCAAUCCCAAGUGGUUAACAAAACAUAUACCAACCCUGGCAUCUACAAGGCAGGUUCCAGUAUUGUGCCUCAAGGACAACAAAGGAGGCUCGGUGAGGUUAGGUCAUGUGGUGAAUCUCAGAACAGCACUCGCCAUUGGAGUAAAGGUCAGCUUAUUUCCUUUUCUCGUUGAUUCCGAUACGCUAUAUUGUCUAGCAAGUAUUCAUGAGACCUGGGUUCAACUGUAUAUUAGGCCGGAGACAGCAUAAUCAACAAGACUAUUGACGAGUUCCUGGAGUGUAAUAAGCAAUGAACUGUAAAUUCUCUUAGAGCAGCAAAAUGAUGGACAGAAAAGUUUGAACUCCUGGGCGUGCAAGAGUUCCAGGACAUCUCAGAGAUGGGUUAACAUGGACAUGGAGUGAAGAGGUUUUAGAAGGGGAUAAAGGAUUCUACCAGAUCGUGGCAAUAUCAAUCUUCUCACACCGAUACUCGGAAACCUUCUCUGCCAAUACUCAUGGGAAUAGACCAGGUUAGUUUGUUAGGUUCGUGCAACUCUGAUUGAAUGGAGCGCAAAGGUAUUUGGGUAUUGCCCAUUGUAAUCUUAGAUAUUCGCCUAUGUUCUUCUCUGCUUGUCAACAAUCAUCGAUGUACAAAAAAUGUUGUUACCAUUGCAAGUUUAAUGUGCCAAGUUCUUGAGACGCUACAACACGCUCAUUUUGAUAAUAUAAUAGUGUAGUUUGGUGCCUUGGUGGCAUUCUUCUACAGCCGGGAACAUCUGUUUAUUUGGCACAUGAUUUAAUUAGCAAACCUAAAGUUGAACUACCCAUGAAGUACUCAAGCAAUCUGUUCGAUAGUACUUCAUCUGUUCAAGAAUAGUACAUGCCGCUUUGAACAAGACAUGGUCUUGAAUACGCAAGUUUGACCAUUCAUUUCCACAGUACGAAGCAUAGAAAUACUGGCCUUUUGUUAUCAGGCGGCCUAAUUGUUUUGAAAACUAUAUCUCGCAACAAAUAGUUUUGUAUAUACUAAUGAUAGAUUUGUAAGAUUCUAAAUUUGUGUAUCAUAUUUCUUUCGAGCAUUGUAUAGCAAGUACAACCCAUUUUACUAUAACCCGAGUGCAACUCAGGAUCUAAUGGUUGAAAUCAGCUGGGAUAAAUGGAGCUAAUACAUGCAUGGUUGUACUCAAAAGCAUUUCAUGUUUCUAGAUGCUAGGAGUAUCUAUGUGAGUGAGAUUUUAUACUUUUAUUGGAAAAUAUAAAAGGUGUCACAUGGGCACACAAAACCCAUGUGUAUGCAUACCCAGACGAGUGUACACACACAAUACAUAGUUCUACUACCGUGAUAUGCCAAUGAAAAUGCGUACAAAUAUGAAGUAAUAACCAUCCCAACAAGGCAUGUAACAUUGUCUUGUAAAAGAAAAACAAAACAAAACAAACAAGGCAGGGUAACAAUAGCACAGCACGUCAUGCAUUUCGAUCUUCAUUUUACCAACGGAUGCAUGCAUAAAGUAUGGUCUUAGACGUAGCACUCGUAGAGCUUGAUGUCCAUCUGCAGCCUGAAGUAGUACAGGCCCUGGAAGGUGUCGGUGCGCAGCGUGGCGACGCCGCGCGCCAUGAAGAAGUCGCCGGUGCCGCCGACGACGGAGAUGUCCCUCGUCUUCUCCGCCAUGAGGUCGGCGCCCAUGAGGUUGAGCGUGCCCCUGUGCGCCGUGGAGUUGAACACGAGGGAGAAGGCGAACCACGCGCUGGGCGCCUCCUUCCUGUCGUAGAAGUAGAACCCCUCCGCGCGCGCCACCGGCGCCGACGCCAGCGCCGGCGCAGCCGUCACCACGUCGUUGAACACUACGAUCUCGCCGAAGUAGGUGUCGUUGAUGGACACCGACCUGCUCAGCAGCGUCGGCUGCGUCGCCGCCGCCGCCGUCGCGUUCGCCGUGUUGGUGCCGUCGUAGAGGAUGUCGUGGUAGUAGACCGUCAUGUUCAGGCACGGCUCGCCGUCGUGGCUGGACACGAGCCGCCGCCGGCCAUGGGCGACGCCGGUCAUCAGUCCAAGAAGCAGUAAGAUGGCAGGGAUCACAGUGAUGAGCUUGCAAGUUGGCAUAAGGCCUUGCAUUAUUGUCAGUGUCAGACUCUGAGUGAAAGUGAAUAGACUGAGUGUCAGACUGUCGUCGGUGCAAGACUAGCUAGAAGACACUAUCCGUGAGAACCUAUAGCCAGCUCUCUUGUUCUUAUUUGCGUUGGUGAGUUGAGUGGUGCAUUGCGUAUUUAUAGAGCCAAAUGGUGUGGGAAUAUGCAGUAGAUCCGAGUGUUGAUGUGGAGCUGGUUUAAUUUGAUCCCGAUCGAUCGAUCUAGUGAAACGGGCGGAUGCGCCGGCAUAGUUGAAAUAAACGAGCAGCAUAUGUCUUGGUAAGAUUUCAGUGUCACGCAUGACUCCUCUUUUCCCUAUUUACUAUAGCUGGUGUAUGCUCGUAUAUACCAGCUAUCCAAUGGCAGUUACAUUAUUUUAAGUGCUCGACUGAAACAUGAAAAUGACCAUUCGAAUUUCUUCUUUGCCGUUUUCGUUGUCAAUAAGUAGGUGAGCACAGGCACAACAUUUUAUUGGGAUAGAUAGGUGCGUGAUUUUGGUUUCCCAAACUAGCAGGAUGGCCAUUUUUUUUACGGUAAUGCUAGGACUGGCUGUCCGAAGCCACCAGAAAUAUCAGACGUAGACAUGGACGCGUGGCACGUUUUCAUCCACAAACCUUGCGCUCUCUGCCAUAUCUAUUUUUUCUCUAAUGUUGCUGCUUGCUUCCACGCUUGCUAAUGUCUCCAUCUUUCUUCAUUCCCGGAUGCAUCUGCUACUCUCUUCUUGCUUGCUACCGCCGCUUGUAGCUGCUACUCCUCCUGCCUGCAUCUCCUAGAACUGGGGGCGUGCUUCUAGACGAGAGCUGGGGGCCGUGCUUCUAGAUGUCUACAGGGAUGUCUACAGGGGUGGAGAUGGAGGUGGAGGUCCCUCUCCCCCAGCUCCUCCUCCCUUUCCCCCGGUUGAGGUGGGUGGCAGACGCAGACCGAGCAGCGCGGCGCAACACAAUGAGUGAGAGGGUGGUGCGCGGAGAGUUCAUCCGUCGUGACAUGACGAGAAGAUGGUGCACGGCGAGCUCGCGAGCUCGUUUCCCUCCUAUAGAUGUGCAACACAUAGGGAGUGCUCUGGUCGGAAGUGGAGUAAGAUCUGUUGGUGUUAAUUGGAGUAAUAGGAUGGCAACGACGGCAUGACCUGGUGCGUGGAAUAUGCUGUUGCAAUAUGUUAUUUCUAGGUGUUACACUAUAUCAAUUUGUAUGUUGCAAUAGGUGAUUCUGGAUGUUUCAAACUUUUUCCUUUGAUGUUGCAAUAUGAGGAUUUUUUUUGUUGCGCUCUUUCUUGAUGUUGCAUAAGAUGCUCUCCAAUGUUUCAAUGGUCAAUUUUGCAAAGUUGUGAUCCUUUUGAAGAGAUUCAGAUCAGAUGUUAUUCGAGAUUUUCUAUUCGAGAUGUUGCAACUUGUGAUUUUUAUUGUUGCAACGUGUCUGUUUUGAAUAUUACAAGAAGCCAUCCGAGAUGUUUCAUGCAUGUAAAGGUGUUGCAAAUUUAUCUUCUGAUGAAUGUUGCGUGAAAUAUGACAAAAUGCCGCGCAGGGGAUUUUUUAUCCUAUAAAGAGAUGGAUGGCAUGCAUGAGUUCCAAAACUAUUUUUAGUGCAUGUGUUUCAUGUUGCAAGUGUUGAUUUUUGAUGUUUCCAUAGUUAUUUUUCAAUGUUGCAACGGAGCGUCCGAUAAAAAAAUUAUCGGACGUCGCAUGUCCGUUUUUUUUAUAUCAGCACAUUAACCAUUUCUAAUGGACACUUAAGUUCUUGGGUAAGUUCAUGAUAGCGCAAAAAAAAGGGCAUCAUAAAAAAAUGAAAAUUAAAACACUCUUUUCUUGGACCUGGAUAUUCUUGUUUUUGUUAGAUAAAAGCAAACCGCCGCUACAUUUAUUGUAUACACGACAUAUACAUAGUUUGCCAAAUGAGCGACUAGGUCAGCAGUUGAAAAAUUUACCAUAGAUGUCUCGUCAUUGACUAGUAAGUUGUCUACCACUGAAUAAAUAGUCAUACGGGUGAGGCACACAUAAUUAAGACGCGCCAAACCUAUUCGUCUGAUCCUUGGUGUGCAGAGUAUAAUAACCCCUCAAACUAAGUACUCCCUCCAUUCCAAAUUAUUAUUUGUUUUGCAUAUGGAAAGCUAUGUACUUAGAAAAGUAAAAAGGUAAAAUGAAUAGUAAUUUUUAGGACGGAUGGAGGAAGUACUUGACCAUUUUAUUACAACACAGCUUAUUCUCAUGUCACGGGGCAUUAUGAUUUUGUUGCAACCUCAUGCGCGUGCCCAUAUGAUUGAUAACUAUACUUGGAUCCAUUACUUUUACUUGUUGAAAUGACCACGCGAUGAUGAACACAUGCAUGGAAUACAUGUAAACUUGCUCGAUUGGUCGUCAGGGACAAGAGAAGCAUCAGAUGAGCUGAGUCACUCCGAUGUAUAGUAUUCCACCGGGUUUGGUGUGCGAUCAGCUCAACCAAUGAUGCAGAACUGAUAGUGAUCGAGCUGCAGCAGCAAUACAACUAAUGAACAAUCAACCAAUUAACCGAGCACGUAAACAGAUAUUUUGAACUGCAACAUGACGUGCUUUUAGAGAAUGUAAAACCUGUCGGUACUCUGUACAUAUCUGCGUGUCUUUAGCAAGGACCAGUUUGGUAAAGCUCCAGCUCCGUAUUCUCCUACGACUCUAGCUGAAGUCGUACCAAAUAGUUUAGUCAAAAACGGCUCCAUCCCUGGAGCACUAGAUGAGCCAGAGUUAUUUUAUAUGGAGAAGUCAGAGACAAAAAAAGUAGUUCAUCCGACUUCUUCUCAUUUUAAGAGGAGCUGGAGCCCUACCAAACUGACCUAAAUCGUGAGUGGAAAGAUGUGAACGUUCAUGCAGUAGUUUUUUUCCCCAAUUUUCCUUGUACAAACCUUUUUAAGCCAUCUGUUCUGAAACCAGCCGUCCAGCUAUAUCAUGACACUUGCUCUCUUAUGCUCACAAUAAACAAAGAGGUGGUGCAGUGAACGUGCCUCGGCUGCUGUUCCGUGCAACUACCUCUCCAACAGUUUGUAUAUGUAGGUGCAGCAGGACGAGACGAGUGAGGAGGAAGCAAAGCGAUGGUGAACGUGCACGCUAAGGCCUCCUCCAGAGGUGAGCCGGCUGCUGGCUCUUAAAAGCGUAUGGGGGCGCUUCCACGUAUCUGUACACUGUUAUCUGUACACUGCACCGCGGUUUGGUGAAAGAGUGGUUCCCGUUUAGGGCACCCGCACCGCAUUGUGCAUUUGUGUGCCAUGGAUUCAGUGCUUCAAAUGCCAAAUCAGGAACCAUGCUUCAUUUUUAUCAUUAGUUUUAGCUGCAACGUGCAAGCUUUCUUCUGUAUGACCUCCGAAACAAAUAAGUAGGUACUCUUCCUCCUGCCGCUUUUUUGGCUUCCUCUGACACAAGCAAAGCAAGGCUGGUUAUUGAUGAGCUAGUAAAGGAAUUGCUUUGGGCAUCGAUGCAACUAGACGUCUGCUUUUUUUAUCCGGGCAUGGCUGCUCUCUCUGCGCGCGUGGGGUGGUUGGAGUUGGAGGCGUCAGUUGUGUUGUGUUGUGCGCUUGCUCGAUCGCCCCUUCCAAAAAGUGCAUGAGCUAGUAAAGUCGAAGUUUAUAGUAGCAAUAAAAUUACUAAAAGCCAAUGCGUAAACUGUAAAUCCAUCAGCGGGAAGGCGAAGAAGUGAAGUGUUGAUGACAUCUCCACUGUCUCCAUAUGGUUGGAUCAUCGUAUCCUUUUGCUCCUCUCACACCGUACUGUAGCUGUAAUUGCAAGUCUAAAUGUGGACACGCUCGAUCGGUUGACAGGGACAAGAGAAGCAUCCGAGUCACAUUUGUAAUGGUAUGUAUGGACAUAAGUAUAUGGUGACGAUUGUAAAAUUUGAUGUGAGUUUUAUUCCUUAAAUUACGUCUCAUUUUACUGCUUUUCAAGUAGGGAAAAAGAUGGCAGAUGACUAAAUUAAUUACCUCACUGUCUUAGCUGAGGUCUGACGAUGGAAUUAAGGAGAUGUUAUUUAACGUCUCCCCUUUUUCUUCAAUUUUCUUUGGAUCGACGUUUGUAAGCCAUCCGUUCUGAAGACAGAAUUGAUCUGAAGAGGGAGAUGUUAUCAUGGUACUGCUUUCUUCAACCUCUCUUCUAUUCGUGACACUUCCUCUCAUGCCCAAUAAAGAAAAAAAAAGGGUGAAACGUGCCACUGCUGCUGGUCCGUGCAACGUACCUCUCCAACAGUCUGGAGGUGCAGCUAGCAGGGCGAGACCAGCGAGGACGAAGCAAAGUGAUGGUGCACGCUAAGAAAAAAAUAGUCGCUCGUCAACGUCAGCAUUGUUGCAUGCAUCGACCGGCGACUCACAAAAAUAGCUACUGCGCCGCGCUUUGAUGAAAUAGUCGUUUUCUUCACAGCUCUGGAACUUGGACGUCGUCCACUGCUUUACCUUCGGUUCGCUCGCAACUUGUAGGAGCGAGAGCGAGACGGGGUACACUUUUUCUUUCAGUAAUAAAAAUAGUAUUCGGCUUCAGCACCAUAAAGAGAGAAUUAGUCUACGUAUUAUUAUACUUUAGGGAAUUAAAUUUUAAAAUAGCAAUAAAAUUGUUAAAAAGUCAAUCUGCAAAUACAAGUUUAUCAAUGUGAAGCGAAGAAGUGAAGUGCCGAAGACAUGUUUGGAUCAUCAUCUCUCUCCCACCAUGUUGUAACUGCGUUCAAUGUUGGAAGUCGGAACCACUCCAUCCGUUCUAAAUUAUAGAUUAUCUUAAUAUUUUAAUGUUCAUAUUUUUUUAUUAUGCAUCUAUAUAUAUACUAUAUCUAUAUAUAUAUAUAUAUCAAAAUGACCUGGACGGGAGUAAUAUUACGUUUUUCCGAAUAAAACCCGUUGCCAUUUAUGAGAGAGACGAGGCACAGCGGCACACGACCAACGAGGGAGGGGCGCUGACGGGCCAAGCCUGCGAGGCAAUUGAAGCCCAGAGCCUUUCUCACCGUCAGCCUCUUCACUCCCGCGGGGGGCUGGAAGCUGGGCUGCUAUGAGCUCGCAAUUUGGCGCGGUAUUGAACAAAAUACCUGUUUUCCUCUAAAAAUAGUUAACUUUAUAAAAAUAGGCCAUCAUACAGUGGCAUGCUGCAAAGCGUGUUUCAAGCAUGAAUUUCUUGCGGUUGCCUAUUGGGCGAACAAGAAAUACAUCGCACACAUAUUAGAAUGGCUCGCAAAUUUUUCCCUUUUUUUGGAUUUACAACAGCAAGUCCGUGCUGUCCUUUUCUUAGAAGGCUUUAUUUCAACCACCAAAGUACACCAUCCAAAUAGUCAUAAAAAUUCCUAAACAAGCCAGUGAUUGGUGUACAUGAUGUCAUUUAGCACUCAACUAAACAAAACUGUAUGCCAAACGAUGGUUUUUUUUAAUAAAAGAUAUAUGUAGAGAAAGAUAGAAUUUUGUUUCCCUGAAAUUUGUCCAAAAUCACCUAGUUUUGGCCAUACACGUCGCUAACCAAGGUUAUUUUUGGAAUAUAAUGGUGCAAACUACUCUCUUUUCAUUCAUUUGUAUAUACAAGGCGUACUUUGACUGUACACAGUUGAUCUUUGCCCACAAGUUAUUUAUACCAUAUGAUCUGUCGUUUAACAGUUAUAAGAACAUAGUCAUAAGAAGCAUUCUCUGACUCUUAUAUUUAAACUCAUGCAAAUACAACCAUGUCGGCUUACAACAAUAUAAUGUGAUACACACAAUCCAAACGCCCACAGGUAUAAUAAUAAGUAAUCCAUGCAUUACAACAAGACGCGAAAUUAACAACACUUCACAACACACAACACAUGUACUGAUGUACGUGCUUGGUGAAAACAAUAUUAUUUGAUAUGCAUUCUUAGACGUCGUAGCAGUCGUAGAGCUUGAUGUCCAUCUGGAGCCUGAAGUAGUAGAGGCCCUCGUACGAGUCGGUGCGCAGCGUGGCGACGCCGCGCGCCAUGAAGAAGUCGCCGGUGCCGCCGACGACGGAGAUGUCCCUCGUCUUCUCCGCCAUGAGGUCGGCGCCCAUGAGGUUGAGGGUGCCCCUGUGCGCCGUGGAGUUGAAGACGAGGGAGAAGGCGAACCACGCGUUGGGGGACUCCUUCUUGUCGUAGAAGAAGAAGCCCUGCGCGCGCGCCACCGGCUCCGACGCCAGCGCCGGCCCCGCCGUCACCGGGUCGUCGAACACCACGAUCUCGCCGAAGAAGGUGUCGUUGAUGGACGCCGACCGGCUCAGCAGCGUCGGCUGCGUCGCGAACGCCGCCGUCGCGUUCGCCGUGUUGGUGCCGUCGAAGAGGAUGUUGUGGUAGUACACGGUCAUCUCCUUGCACGGCGGGUUCCUCUGGCGCCCACCACCGUGGGCGACGCCGGCCAGCUGCCCAAGCAGCAACAUCACAGCGAUCGAGCUGAUGACGAUGAACUUGGAAGAUGGCGCGUGGCCUUGCAUUGUUAAUCAGUGCAGGAUCGACUUGUGCUUAAUUAUUAAGCAGCUUGUUACUGUAGGACACUGCAGGAGAGGUGAGCAGCUAGCUCUUGCUGCUGCUGUGUUGCGUGGAGAGCUUGGAGUUGUGCAUGCCUGUUUAUUGAGCUGGUGUGGGGACUCCUGUCGAUGUGGAGUUGGUUUGAUUCAGGUGACGGGUAGCAAAUUAUGGAAGUAACAUCGUGGAAACAUAUGCACGGUUGGCGCCAACACAAUUUCAAUUCAUCUCUGGCACUUUGUGCAUAUAUAUGUUGGUAUGAUCUCGGUGUCAUAUAUGUGUGUCUAUUUCUUGUUUAGCUUGGUGUCAUACCAACCAUGCAUAUAAUGACGAUGAAUCAAUCAAUUUAUUUAUACAGUGUUCAGAUGAAACUGGCCAUAUAGUUUGCUAGUUAAUUUAUUUAUGAAUCAAUCAAGUUAAUAUAUAUGGAACUAGUUAAUUUUAUUUACUGCAAAUAAAGGUUGUGUGUGUGUGUGAGUGAAAAACUCCUUACUGAAAAGGCAUUUUCAGAGAAAAUAUACUGCAUCCUAAGAGGUUUCCUGUACACAGAAAGAUGGGUAGCAUUAAUUGUUACUUGCAUGCACAUAUAGAGACUUACAGGUGACAAGAAUCCAAAGCUCAUCCCCGAUAGACCCGAAUAUAUUUUGUAACUAAUCAAAUCAUCUAGAGUACAUAUGCCAGCACGCUUGCAGGAUGGCUCCAUUUCCAAUGAUUGAGCUAUAUCGGAAGAAAGAGAAACCAUUUGACAGGCAAAGGGAAACUCUGCAGAAGACUAACCCCCUGCAACAUCUAGAUACAUUGAUGCUCUUUUGCUCUCACUGAACACUCAGCCCGGUUGCUCCCUGUUACGUUGGAUAGAUAAUGAGUGAGGAGCAAGCAAAGGCGACUCCACAUUUCCAUUUUCGGGAGAAAAGUAUGACAUGCGCAUGCAGCAAUACCAAGAAGUGCUUGCUGCAUUGUUGGAAAGUCCUGGUUUCCAAUAAGACUAAGAUUAAUUUUCUAAUAUGCAAGGUUUAGUCUAAUAUGAAUUUUGAGUUUAGUAGCUUGAUCUACUGUCUUCUUUAUAGACUAGUUACCUAGAGCUUGAUGAUGCACGGUAGGUUUAGCUGCGCUCUAGUUCUUCAUUACAUCCUCAAAUGAAAAAAAAAGAAAAAAAGAUAUCGCUCAUUACCUUUACAUUCCCAAAGUUUUGCAGGCAAUCAACACUGUACAUAUAUGUAACCUUUGCUGUUGCUGUGGCGGUUGGCAAGCUUAAUUUGCUGCUCUCAGGUGAGCAUUUGCUUGCUUCGUUUGGCUUGACCACAUGAAAUAAAUGAGCCGCGUGGCUCACACUAUCGUAUAGAUUAUUAUAGCAAAGGGUCAUACCAACUGUCCAAUAACAAUCGAGAGCUCCAUUUGCCCGCAUUAUCAUACACGAUCUCGAUUAACACAUGAAAAUGACAUUUCGAUUUUUUUUGUAAGUUACAACUGGGAUCUAGAAGUACAUGAUGUUUAAUCCGGAAAGAGAGCCAAAGUAAUAAAUAUAAGUAUAUAACAUUCCACCGAGUUUGGUGUGCGACGUACGACCUCGAUCGAUCGUGCGGGGCUGAUCGGGCUCGAGCUGCCGCAGCUAAACCAAACAAUUAACGAGCAAGUUCUUGAUGAUGCUGUUAUCCUUGUCUCCUUGAUGUUCUUGAUGAUGGGCCGAGAGGGAGCAACCCAGGAAGCCGAACCCCGAAGACCUACCUUCUUCGGCCCAAAAUUGGGUCGGCAUGCUGCAUUUGUGCGGGCAGGCAGAAACCCAUGUAAUCUGAAUCUUUCCUAGCUAAUCAUUCAUUUUAUUUUCUCCAGGGUAGCUAGGCUUCUCCUAGGGUUUGGCGACUUCGGCGGCAAUCGUCGCCGACGAAGGUUCUGGUCCCUGUCCCUGCACCGCGUCUCCUACUUGUCUUUCUGCUCUGGCUGAACAAGGGGUUGACCAGCUCAGCUACCCGGCCUUGGCAGGAUAGGAGUUCUCGGAGCUCGUGGGUGUGUGCAGAUUGAUUUUCUUCCCCAGGCUCAAGUUGUUUGCGAUGGCGGCAACAGCAAGGGCCAAGCAGGGUGCUUUUAAUGUGAAUGAACUCCUCCAAAAGUUGCGUCUGAGUGACAUUGAACGGGAAGGAGUGGUUCUGGCAAAGAAGGAAAGAGGAAACUUGCUGGAGGUAAAGUGGAUGGCUGUCGCAAAGCUAUUGAUGGUGAAGCAUUUUAGCAAGCAAUCGCUAAUCUCGACCAUGCAUUCGGCCUGGAACACGGCGCGGGAGGUCACCUUCAGGCCUAUCGUGAAUAAUCUGCUCGCGGUACAGGCUUCGUGUUUGGGAGACCGGAAGCGCAUCAUGGAAGAGGGGUCGUGGCUGUUUCGCAGGUGCGUGCUGAUGCUGGAGGAAUACGACGGCUCAACAGAUACCCCUAUGGUUCUGCCGAGCAAAGUCCAGGCAUGGAUCCAAAUCCAUGGGAUAGCGCCCUUAUACCACACAGAGAGGAUUGUGAAACAAUUGGCGGCCAAGGUGGAAAAAGUGAUUGGUGUAGAGAUGAGGGUGACAACCACCGGCGACGAUGAUUUCUAUUAGGCUAGGACUAAUCUCCACUCAUCCAAGCCUCUUUCUAGAUUUGUUACCCUGUCUCCAGAGGGGUAUGAAAGUAUGCUCCUCUAGGUGAAAUAUGAGAAGGUAGCACAUUUGUGUGCACACUGCGGCAUGAUGGGCCACGGCCACCUAGAGUGUGGAAAGGGUGAGCACAAGGAGGAGGACUUGCAAUAUGGAGAGUGGAUGGUGGCGGUAGAAGAUACUUGGUGCCCUAGGACACCCUGUGUGCGGGGAAAUCCUGUACCUAAGAAGGGUGGUUCAUAGAAUGCUGGAGGUCAAUCUGAGCGUGGAUGCUCGACGGGAGGAAGACACGCUAGGCAUGGAGGAAUGCGUGCUACAGGCGUGUGGAAGGAGAAGUACAAGCAAGUUUUUGAGGGCAGUGGCUCCUGCAAGAGGAUGCCGGAGGAGGCAGACUUAUAGGAUAACACUGAAGAGCUUCAGGGUUCUGCAACCAGUCCCCUAAAGGCUGCAAUAAUGAACAUGGAUGGAGAAAAAGAGAGGAGUGCAUAGAAACAACUGGUGUUGGGGGUGCCUCCUCCUCCACCACAGUAUGUUCUGCCUAGGGAGCAGAAGCGUCUAAAGAACUUCAGACAUCUGUAAAGGAAACUAGCUCAUCCUUUGCAAAGAUGGGCAAGGAAGAGCUUUUUACAAACAACAGGGCGGGCUCCAGUGAGGAGCAUCGCCAGUCCCAAUGAGUUGCCUCAGUUGGAAUUGUCGCGGACUCGGCAAUGCCGCGACAAUUAAGGAACUUCGCGAGAUGGCGAAGGAUGUUGCCCCAUCGAUGGUCUGUGUUCUUGAGACUCAGGUGCACAAGAUACCGGUGGAUAGACUGAAGCAGACUCUUGGUUUUGAUAAUUCCUUUGCUGUCAGUAGUUCGGGCCGCAGUGGCGGAUUAGGUAUUUUUUGGAAUAAUAAUAUAAGUGUGACUUUGGAAGCAGACAUUGAUGCAUUAGUCCAGGAAAGGGAUGGUGACCCGUGGCACUUGACUUGUGUUUACGGGGAGGCACAAACAAAUGAGAGGCACAAGACAUGGGAUAUGUUGAAACAUAUCAAGUCAUCAUCGCGCCUCCCAUGGUUGUGUACUGAUGAUUAAAUGAUUUUAAUGAAGUGUUACAUCAAACGGAACACGUGGGCGUAAAGGAGAGAAGCCAUGCUCAAAUUGCCAGAUUCCAUGAGAUGGUGGAUGUAUGUGGCCUAAAUGACUUAGGUUAUGAAGGUCAUAGUUGGACAUAUGAAAAGAAGGUAGCUGGGGGCUCCUAUUGCCGAGUGCGCCUGGAUUGCGCUCUGGCAACCCCGAACUGGAGCGUGUGUUUCCCUUUGGUGAAGUGCAAGCAUCUAUCGGCGGCCACCUUGGAUCAUGUGCUGAUCUUGCUGAGCUGGAGGUCGGAUGAGGUGCGGCCUCGAGGAAAGAAACGAUUUAGGUAUGAAGUUAUGUGGGAAUCCCAUGCUGAGUUCUUGUAACGCCCACGAAAAUCACUAACAAAAAUCACCCGUUAAAAACCGUCUUUAAAAUCUUUUACCGCUGAGCUCCCGGAAAUCGGAACCCUUCCCGGCAAUUUCGCCGUCCCGGUACCCAUGCCGACCCCCACCUAUCUUUUUAUCUGUGCCCGCGAAUCUCGCCGCGUGCCGGUGUCAGACGCCGUGCGCGUGCUCCGACCGCGUGCCGCGAGUGCCGCCGGUCUCCUCCUUUUUCCUUCUCUUUUUUCUUCCCCUUUUCUCCUUUUUCUUUUUCCUUCUUCUUUCUUCCUCCUUCUCCUUUCUUCUUCCUCCCUCCUUCUCUCUCCUCCUUCUUCUUCCUGGCACCCGGACCGGCCCCAACUCAUUUACUACCCGGAGCCCCUCCCUCCUGGAGCCACGCCGCCCGGCCACCUUGGGCCCGCCGGCCACUCCGCACGGCGCCUGGCGCCCGACCCCGCCCGCGCCUGAACCCGGCCGCGCCCACGACAGGCGCGUCGCGCCGGUCCGCCCGGCCCUGCCGGCGCGCCUGGCGCCACGCCGCCUGGCCGCCUUGGCCCGCGCCCGGGGGGGGGGGGGGGGCACGUGCCGCCGCCCGGCGCCACUCCCCGGCCAGCCCGCCCGGCCCCUACCCCGCCGUACGCCGCCGCCACUCCGCCCGGCGCCUGGCGCCACGCCGCGCCCCGACCCGCACGCCACCGCCGGCGCCCUCCCCGCCGCCUAUAAAAAGCCACCCGGCCUCCCCACUCUCCACCCACCAGCACCCCCACCGCACCCACUACGAGCCGCCGCCGCCGCCGUGCGCCACCGCCGCCGCCGUGCGCCACCGCCGCCGCUGUGCACCACCGCCGCCGCCGUGAGCCCCGCCGCCGCCUUCCUUCGCCCAAAGACCGGCGCCCGGUCCACCCCUCCCCAAGGUGAGGGGCAAAACGGGGCCCCCUCCUCUUCCUCCACCACCCGCCGCCCCCGGCUCGCCGCCGGCGACGCCCGGCCGGCCGGCCGCCGGCCACUCUCUCCCUCCCUCUCUCUUCCUCUGUUUCCUGGAAGAAGAAGGAGCCAAAACUCCAAGAAUUCCGAUCUAACCCCCAAGUUUCCCCAAAUUACACAUAAGCCCCUCCACUUCCGAAAGAAAUUAGAAAUAGGUCCCUGGUUUAUUAAAAAUCAGCCCUAAACCUCCAUUUAAGCCCCUAAUCAAUGAUUAACCCGUCAUUUCAUGCGCCAAACUCCCUCCAAUUAAUCCCAAAUUUUACCACGUCACCCUCCAGAAUACUUUCGCCGAUCCAUAUCCAAAUUUCCCAAAAAUAAUCCCUCUACCUAUUUUCCGUUCGCGUUUCCUGUUCGGAGCUCACGGUUAAAAAUCGUUUUCUCUUUUAUUUAUUCGUGUGCCUGUUUGUGUGUGCCGUAGAUCGCGGAUUGCCCGAGGAGGAGCCCGAGGAAGAGUUUGACCGCGAGCCCGAGCCCGAGGACCAGUACCGCGAGCCGGAACCCCUGGAAGGCUUUGAAGACGGCAAGUCCAAUCUCACCCUUUUGAUGCAUACUUAAUACCUAGUUUUUCAAACACAACCUAUUGGCCUGUUUUUACAAAAUGCAUAUUAUUUUAUCGCAAGACAUGGUUGGAUAGCCACCCCUUGAUUAUUAUGAACAUUCCUUGUUGUCCUAUGCUUAUCUCUAAAUAUGACUCGCUCUGUUUAGUUGAUAACCGCCGCUAGAACGCUUAGGAACCUGUUACUCAAAUGCAAACAUUAUUACAAUGGUGUAUUCGGGAAAUUAAGGUGUGUAUGUGUCCAAGUAAGAAUAAUGGCUUUUGGUUCGGGAAAAGAAAUGUGUGGACGGGAUGGAUGGGUGUUCCUUGUGUGGGAUGCCCAGUUGUGGUGCUCGUACCUUGGUGGUUGGGCAAUGUUGGGAGAUAUCCAUCCGGUCGUAAUUAAGGACCGAGUUAAUGUGUCAUCUUGCCUAAUUCCACUAUCGUGCAACCACUCGACCGUUGUAUGGGCAACGGCUUAGCAUAAACCCCACUAGCUGGAUGGUUAGUCCUCAGGAGUGCUGGUGAGCAACGGGAACCCACGGAAAAGGAUUAAGAUCUUGGUGACUUGAGUCCCGGUUACGGUCUCCUGAAUGAGCCGUGGACCCCUUGGGUGUUCCGUGAGAACUAGCCAGUCUUAGCUAAGGUGGGUAAUGGCUUUGUUAGGAUCCGUACCGUCACUAAGGUGAUCGCGCUACGGUACCCUACUUGUGGGAAAAGUGUACACCCUCUGCAGAGUGAAAACCUAUCCGGGUAGCCGUGUCCACGGAAUUGGACGAAUUACGGCUUGGUCACAUAACUAGUGUUUGGGCAAGGAUGUCAUGAGUGUGUGUGUGUGUGUGUGGGAUUUCAGAAGAGUCCAGCAGUUGUGCCGUGCGCUAUGACGGACGGGGAGUCCGAUAGCGAUAAAAGUUGGAUCCUUUGUGUAGGAUCAACCCCACCCAGUAUUUCGGGUAUUAAAGGCAACUUUACAAAAAUCCUUCCGAAAACGAUCCCCUGCAUGUGUUGAAAAUUAGCUUUUCCGCAAAAUAAACCCUAGCCUAUCCUUGUUAUACUUGUGCAUAAUCUUGCUUGUAUCCCCUCCGUGGAUGGGGUUGGACUUGUUGAGUACGUUAGUACUCACCCUUGCUUCAUUGCUACAGAGGAAGACCCUGAGUUUGUCGCAGAAGACCUCGAGUAGAGGUUGUGUCCGCACCCGACGCUGCCUGUGGUGUUGCCUUGCCCAAGAUGCUGCUGCUGCCGUGUAGUCCCGAGUGCUGUCUUUUGGCAGUCGCUUGGUUAGCCGCCGUUAUCUAUUUACUGUUUAUCGCUGCGUGGCUUUCACGCCCACUCCCUCGGGAGUUGUAUGGUAACUGAAUUAUCUGUCGAAUAAAUGUGUUAUCAGCCUCCUGGGACUGAUAUUUGUAUCACAUUUAGUCUCUACUUAUGUGGGGACGCUUCAGUUCUCUAACUUUCUGCUUGAGUCAUAGCAGAAGAAGAAUGAGGCAACGACCCUGUGGGAAUUACAGAGCAAACUAAAGAAAGUUCCUAGUCACCUUGUGAGGUGGGAUAGGAAUACAUUUGAGCAUGUACGUGGGGAGUUGCGCAAGCUGAAACAAGAGCUAGAGCGGCUACAGUCUGACCCACAGAGGAUGGGUCCAACUCAUGUGGAGCUUAAGAUCAAGGAGAAAAUUUUGGAACUAAACCAUAGAGAAGAAAUAAUAUGGAGGCAACGUUCCAGAAUUAUGUGGCUUUCUGCAGGUGACAGAAAUGUUAGGUUUUUUCAUAUCCGAGCUAGUAGAAGGAGGAGGAGAAAUAGGAUCGCAAGGUUGAAAAACCCGGAUGGACAGGUGACAGAAAAUAUCUAGGAGAUGAGCGAUCUAGCAACUAGCUUCUACAAGAAGUUGUAUGCUUUUGAGGGGACUAAUAACAUGGAGGUAGUGUUGAGUAUAGUCCUAAUGAAGGUUACUGCAGCAAUAAACAACAGCUUACUUGCAGCCUUUUCAGAGAAGGAAGUCAAAGAAGCUUUGUUUCAGAUGUUUUUGUUAAAGUUCCCGGGGCUUUACGGUUUUCCAGCACACUUCUUCCAGUGGUAUUGGGACUUAUGUGGAACUGAAGUUACCUUAAUAGUGUUGAGAAUUUUAAGAGGGGAGGAGAACACUACAUCAAUAAGCGAUACUUUUAUUGUUCUAAUCCCCAAGGUGGCAGAUUCAGAGGAGUUGGGCCAGUUUAGGCCUAUAAGCCUUUGUAACGUUCUGUAUAAGAUCGCCUCGAAAGUUGUUCCAAACAUGUUGAAGCAAAUGUUGCCUGAGGUUAUAUCAGAAGAGCAGUUUGCAUUUGUACCUGGGCGUCUUAUUACAGACAACAUAAUCUCGACAUAUGAAUGUCUGCAUUUUAUGAAGUGGAGAAGACCUCGUGAAUCGAGAUGUUGUGCUCUGAAGUUGGACAUUUUAUGACCGAGUUGAGUGGGACUAUCUGCGAGCGAUCAUGCUUUGAUUGGGCUUCCACCAAUGUUGGGUUGAGAUAGUGAUGCGCCUGGUAACUACUAUCUCUUUUUCACUUCUUUUUAACAGUGAUAAACUUGACAAUUUUAAACCGUCGAGGGGUAUCCGACAAGAAGAUCCUAUCUCUCCCUAUCUGUUUCUAUUGGCAGUAGAGGGCCUUUCAUGCCUGCAAAUAGCUAGGAAUUAGUCGUCCGUACUCAAUGGGAUUAAAGUGGCAGUGGUGUCUCACUUACUCUUUGCAGAUGACAGCCUGAUAUUUUUGAGAGCUAAUAGGGAAAGUGCAGAGGAGAUCAAGGAGGUACUCAACAUUUACUGUCAAGCUUCUGGACAGAGAAUUAGUAUGGACAAAGAAUUAGUAUGGACAAGUUCUCAAUUCAUUUUGCGAAGGGCUGCAGAUGGUCUCUUCGUGAGGUGAUCAAGGGAGUACUUGAUAUACAUAAUGAAUCUCUGAGUGAAAAAUACCUGGGUAUGCCGACAGACGUGGAUGUUUCCAUUAAUGGGGCUUUCAAAUACAUUAAAGAUCGUGUGUGGAAAAAGAUCAAGGGUUGGCUGGAGCAGUGUUUGUCAUCGGGUGGCAAAGAGGUACUGAUUAAAUCAGUUGCGCAGGCUAUACCUACCUAUUCGAUUUGCUGCUUUAAGCUCCCUAGAGGUUUAUGCCAUCACAUCAAUAAUUUAUUGAGGAACUUCUGGUGGGGUAGCAAGGAUGGAAAAAGGAAAAUGUGUUGGGUCGCUUAGGAUGAGAUGAUCAAACCAAAGUGCAUGGGCGGCCUGGGCUUCAGGGAUAUUGAGCUGUUUAAUCUUGCAUUAUUGGCGAAACAGGCAUGGCACAUCCUCAUGGAUGAGAGCUCGUUAAGUGCCUCAAUUUUAAAAGCAGUUUACUUUCUAAAUGUGGAUUUAUUAUAUGCUAAUCUGGGGUCCCUCUCAGAUAUGGCAAUCCAUACUUGAUGGCAGGGAAGUUCUGGAGCGGGGAUUAAUUAGGAGGAUUGGAACUGGAGAAUCAACACAUAUAUGGAAUAUGAAUUGGAUUCCGGGAGCGAAUUAUCUUCACCCCAUCAGGAUGGACUUGACAGAUCCUCCGCAAAUGGUUAGCGGGUUGAUAGAUCACACGACAACCUCAUGGGAUGUCCAAAAGCUUCAUGCUGUUUUCUAUCCGUCUGAUGUUGAGGCGAUUCUGAAUAUACACCUUUGUACUCGGAGACAAGGGGAUUUCUGGGCAUGGCACCAUAAAAAGAGGGGUAUUUUCUUAGUUCGUUCAGCUUACAAGAUGUUGGUUGUAAAUAAAGAACGAGCUACAGCGUAUCUAGAGAAUAUUGUUGGGAGAUCAGAUUUAAGGUCUAAGGAAAAUGAAUGGAAGUCGCUAUGGCAGGUUAAGGUACCAUCAAAGAUACAUGUGUUCUUGUGGAGGCUUGCUCAUCACUCCUUGCCAUCAAGUGAUGUGCUGCACCAUAGGAACAUGGCUACUCGAAGCACCUGUUCGAUCUGUAGUAUGUCUGAUUCUUGGAAGCACUCGUUGAUAGAGUGUAAUAUGGUGAAAUGCGUGUGGGCUCUGGAACGCGAGGAAAUUACACAGCUGACGAGUGAAACUCAGGAGACUGAGUCUAGGGGAUGGUUAGCGGCUAUUAUCAGCUCGCUAAAGCAUGAGGAUCUGAUGAGGAUGGUGGUCACUCUUUGGGCCAUCUGGUAUGCUCGCAGGAAGGCGAUCCACGAGAGCUCUUUUUAGAGUUCUUUAUCCACUCAUUGUUUUGUGAACAAUUUUAUAGCUGGCCUAGAGAUGAUCAAGACGGUGUAGGCAGCGUCGGUGAGACGUACCCAAGGUGUUCCACCUCGGUGGAUCCCUCCACCACCGAGCCUUGUAAAAAUCAAUGUCGAUGCAGCCACUUCGAAGAAUUCAAGCAAGGCAGUGGCGGCUGCCAUUGCUAGGGACGUUGUAGAAAACUUUCUGGGAGCAUCUGUGCUGGUGAUUCAUGGACUCUUAGAUGCAGAGAUCGUUGAGGAUAUUGCGUGCAGGGAAGGCUUGGCAUUGUCGAGUGACCUCAUGGUUCAACACUUCAUGCUAACUUCGGACAAUGUUAAUGUGAUCAAAGGAAUCAAAGAGAAAGAAAUAGUCGCUCAUGGCCAUAUUAUCAUGGAGAUAAAGGCUACAGCAGUGCAGUUUGGGACUGCUGAUUUUAUUCAUUUUCGCUCCAAUGUGGAUGCUCACACCAUCGUAAGGAGUACGAUUUAUACUGAGUUUGGUAGGCAAGUUUGGCUAUUAAAUUCGCCUCAAGGCGUUUUUAACUCUUAUAACUAUGUUGACAAAUAAAGAGUUAUACUAAAAAAAAGCUAAUCAUUCGUUCCUCUGAUUCUUCUCUUGAUCCCAGCUACUUGCUGCUGCUAACACCUUUGCGAACGCACGAUCACCCGCUCCUCCAAUUGAAUGUUUACCGCUUGAGCAGUUGAGCUACAAGUUCCUGAGCUCUCUACUCCUUGAGUGGGCUGGGCGUGCGGCGUGCCGCUGACGCAUGGCCUCUCUCUCCUCAUCUGCGCACGAGUUAGAUCAGCAGCCCCACCGAAUUUGGAUUUUUGUUCAUCCAUGCAUACCACACCAUGCUUAAUUAUAUGAUAUUGUCUACAGAGAAAAGAUAGGAGAGCUCAGUCAGGCCCGUACAUUAGGCAGCACAACUGGAGCGAUCGAGCCGGACCUCCAAAAAUUAGGGGGCCCAACUUUUAGACUUUAACUAGAGGUUAAGAAGAUAUUGGUACGUAAUAUUCGCCCUUUAAUCAAUACUAUAACAUGAGUACCUAAUUUCAUAUUGCAGUUCUUUGUAUGCAAAAAGGUAUGUAAAUUAUCUCGAUUAUUUGUAUUUCACUACUAUAGUAUAUAUAGGCUCCCAUUUCUUGGUUUGCUCCAGGGCCUCAAAAUCUCCAGUACGGCCCUGAGCUCAGUUCACCGUCAUCACCUUUUUUCCAAAAGUGGAAUCGUUCCAAAGGAAUCUCCGUUUGCUUUCACUCUCUAUGUCCUACCUAGCUACAUUUGCAGAAAAACAGCCUUCAUCCUCAAUAAAAAUCUCAAUUGCUUUUAGACCCGAGACUAAAGAGGUUUUAGUCUCGGAUCUAAAUUUUAUAGUCCGUAGAGAAACCUUUAAUCCCGAUUGGUGCAACUGAUCCUUUAGUCCCGAUUGGUGUUACAAAUCCAGACUAAAGUUCCGAGGGCUUACUAACCGAGCCUAAAGGGUCCCCCACGAGUUACUAAAAAAGGAUUGCAUCCCCUGCUUAGUUUUAUGUGCUGUGUAGGUGAGAUGGUAAGGAACCUACAUGCGAGGCUUGAGGUCGUGGGUUCGAAUCCUACACACCGCGCAUACGCAUAUUUCGCGUGAAAAAUCGUGUGACUUGUGAAAGACCUGGGACUUAGGCCCUGUUUGGCACAGCUCCACUCCUAAACUCCAGCAACUCCAUCAAAAAAUUCAGCCAAACACUCCAACUCCAAAACUCCAUGGAGUUGCCAACUCCAUGGAGCUGUAGUGCAAAGGGAGGUGGAGUUUUGGAGCACCUCUUUUGGUGCUCCAGAAAUCUCUCUUUUGAACCUCCUCGUGGAGUUGGUGGGUAAUUACCCACCAAUACCACUCGUUAUGGAAGAAAACGUUUCGUUCUAUUCUGUUCCCGUUCUUUUUCCCCGUCCCGCGCCUCCCUCGGUCGUAUCCUCUUCCAUUCGGAUUUGGGCACCGCCGGCCGCACCCCCCGCCGCUUCCCUCUGCUCCCUGCCGCCAGCCGUACCCCCUCCCGCCCCCGCCGUCGGCCGCACCUCCCGCCGCCGGCACCGAGCGCCCUCUCCGCCGCCGGACUGAGCGCCCUCUCCGCCGGACCGAGCGCCGCGGCGUUCCCCCAGGCCGCCUCGACGACCCCCCGCGCGCCUCGACGCCCCCCGCGCCUCAACCCCUUCGAUUGAAGGUCCCCGCCGCCGGCCGCCCUAGACGUCGCCGCCGGCAGCCUUUGUCCGCCGCCGAAGCCCGCCGCCAGGAGCCUUCGUCCGCCGCCGGCCGCAGCGCCCGACCGCCGGCCGGAGCGCCCCGCCGCUGAAGGCCGCCGACAGCCGCCGCGCCCCGCCGCGCCCUGCCGCCGAAGGCCGCCGCCGGCCCCAGUGCCCCGCCGCCGAAGGCCGGCCACCGGGUUGGAGGAGAUCCCCCCUGUUCAAAGGUACUUAUAUCCAAAGGCCCGCCGCCGGCCUUUGCGCCCCGCUGCUGAACCCCCCCCCCCCCCCCCGCCGGCCGCUGCGCCCCGAGGCCGCCCAUCUCGCCCCGCCGCCGGCCACAGCGCCCCACCGUCGGUUCGUCCCGCCGCCGAAGAUCCCUCGCCGCCCGUUCACAAGGUAUGGUGAUGGCGCGGACAGCGGCGGUGGCCGCGGCUCUACUCCUCAUGUUUGCUUUGAGCUUACGCGAGGCAUCAAUGCGAUGCUUGUAGACGGCCAUUAAGAUGUUGUACUAAGAAAUGCUUUUGAUCAUAUGAGAUAUUUGUGCUCAUAAGUGAGAGAUUGUCACUUCAUUUGUAAGUCUAAAAUAAAAGGAAGAAGAUGGGAUAGAAAGGAUGACAAGUGGGGUUUCAAUUGGGGGGCAACAAUGGCAAUCUACACUGAAAUUGGUCUUUUUUGGAGCUGAGAGCACCCAUCUAGCCAAACACCCCAUUUUAUUUCUGGAGUUUUGGAGUGGAGCUGGCUCCACCUGGAGUUCUGGAGUGGAGCAGCUCCACCCAGAGCUGGAGCCAUGCCAAACAGGGCCUAAAAAUCGUGUGGGGAGCCUCCUGGGACUUUAGAAUAUUUUUUUGGCGCAAAACCUUUAAUCCCAAUUAAUUAGUUCUGGAUAGAAAAAUCAGGAUAUACGAGAUUUCUUAAUCGGGACAGACGACCGUUUUUCUACAAGUGUACUCAUAUUUCCCUGCACUGCAGUAGGUAAGCGUGCAAGUAAUAACAUAACAACGGCCGCAGUACGUACGUGUCUUACGUUCAGAUCGUUCCAUGUUCAUGUGCUACUCGAGCCCUUUAUUUAUAUAUAUAUACACAACAAUGUUUAAUUGAACAGAUCGAUCGAUCGUCAUUGUAUUUGUAUACAUAGUCGGCAUGGCACCAAGCAUCUACACUAGUUAAGAAAUGUACACACAUGACACUGAAAUCAUACCAACACACAUAGAUGCACGAAGUGCCAACGAAACAGUACUGCCGCCGCGCCAACCAUGCAUUUGUCCCUCUGAAUUUUCUUCCCACCCAUCUGACAACCCCUCACGGCCUCACCUUACUGGCUAGCUGCUAGCUGAACCAAACCGAUUAACUCCACAUCAACUGUACUACCCAAUCCCACAACCAGCCCUAUAAAUAGAGGCAGGCAUGCGUAAAAACUCCGAGCCCUCAACACAGCAAAGAAUUACCAAGACUUACCUGCUCAACGUGUAGUUUAGCGUUCUAGUUUUAUAGAGAUCAGGGUUCACGUACUGAUCGAUUAACGAUGCAAGCCCUGAAGCCAUCGUCUUCCAAGCUCACCCUGAUCGUUGCUAGUGUCGUGUUUCUUCUUGGGCUGGCAGGCGUCGCCCAUGGUGGCAGGAGGCUCAUCUCCAGCCACGACGACAACAAGCCGUGCAAGAAGAUGACGGUCUACUACCACGACAUCCUCUACAACGGGAGCAACAACACGGCGAACGCGACGUCGGCGGCGGUGACGAAGCCGUCGGCGGCGCUGAGCAGGUCCAACUGGAGCAACGGCACCUUCGUCGGCAUGCUCGUGGUGUUCGACGACCUGGUGACGGAGGAGCAGGCGCUGGCGUCGGAGCCGGUGGCGCGCGCGCAGGGCUUCUACCUCUACGACAAGAAGGAGGCGUACAACGUGUGGAUCGCCUUCACCCUCGUCUUCGACUCCAAGGCGUACAAGGGCACCCUCAACCUCAUGGGUGCAGACCUCAUGGCCGAGGAGACACGGGACCUCUCUGUCGUCGGUGGCACCGGUGAUUUCUUCAUGUCGCGGGGCGUCGCCACGCUGAGCACCAAUGCCACCGAGGGUUACUUCUACUUCCGCCUCAAGAUGGACAUCAAGCUCUACGAGUGCUACGUCGCCUGAGAUCAGAUCUCACUACUCGCUCGUCUAAGAGUAUACAGAGAUGCACGGGUGUCUUCACUGAUUAAGUGCAAGCAUGUUUAGUUUUAUGUGUUAAAAUGUGGUUUUGAUUUCAUUUCUUGUUGUGAUGGAUUAGUUACACGUGUGUAUGUUUACUAGUGUUAUGUGUUGACAUCAUGCAUGUUUAGUUUUAUGUGUUAUUGGGAUGUGUGGUUUGGAUUGAUGCAAUAUGGGUGUGCUUGACUCACCAUUAUUCAAUAAAAAGGAGGAGAUGCGAAUGCUUCUUACUAUUAAUUCUGAAAUUGUGGUACACAAUAGCUUCCACUAUGCAUUCCUCGAGUCAAAUUUCAGUUAGCACCAUUCUGAACAAGAACCUCAGCUAGCACCACAUGUGUGAAAUACCCGGGUUUUGCAUUUGACGAAUGAAAUUCAGAACAAGUGUGAAAUACAUAUGUGGGAUUUCUUUUUGUUACAUUUAUUAUACUUAACAUGGUGGUUCAAACGGAAUAAAAAAACUCACAGUUCAACAAAAAAUGCAUUUCAAGUUUAAUUAAAUAACUAAUCACCCAUCCAUCCCAUACACUCAAUUUUUUUAAACGAACCGGCACGAGAGCUACCUAUUAUAUUAAAAUGGAGAAGAGGCCGACCGGAGGGUUACAACCUAGAAGAAGCUACAAAAGCUCCAAAACAAACGAACACAACUCAUAUUCUAUUUAUAAGCCUUGCUAAGUGCUUUGCACCAGCUAAAAUCCAUGAUGCCGCUUCUUCCUUGAUUCUUGUUGUGAUCCUAAACGAUAGUGCCUCCGAGCGAUCAAAAAUACGAGCGUUACGCUCUUUCCAGACCUCCCAGCAGGUAUGUACACUCAAAUUGUGCCACAUGAUUAUGCAAAUGAAUGAUUGGCUUGUUCUCCCAGUCCCACCUCAUCUCGAAGUCAUAUAAGCUAAAACCUUAUAAAAGAUUCAUAGGAUUUGAUGUACUCUCGCCUCUUUCCAUCCACGGCUCACAACACGACCCAACUACGGCUGCAUGUCAAAGUGGUAGGGUGUGAAUGAAGGUUGUGCCAUUUCCGGAUCUGGCCCUCCAAAACACUCUCAAUUUGUUUUUUUUUUUGAGAGAAACGUUCCCACAGCUUGACACAGGGGAUCGCAGGAUACGCUGGUCCACCAUGCGUAGUGGCUCUCGUUUUUUUAGAGGAGGUAUAAAAAAGUAGACAACUCGCGCAAACUUGCAAGAAAGGCAAGAUUUGCAAAAACAAGUGGAGAGAAAAGGCUAGCUAACACGCACGAGGCCCAGUACGCGCGGGCCGGAAGCCGAUCUUCCCGGCCCGUGGCUCCCGCUGUCCUUCCGCGUGGGCUGGUGGGACGGGUCCAUGCGAUGCGACCACGGGAAGUCGGGCGGUGGUGCUUGGGCUCGUCCGCAGGCAAUUUUUUUUUUUUUUUUUUGAGGGCGGCUCGUGCUUCACGCGCGCCACGAGGCCCGCGCGCGCGUACGGUUAUUGUUUUUAUAUUUACCUUAGCAACGACAUCGGCCGGAGAUCGUGCUGUGCAUGCGUGCCUGCGUCGCUGAGGAAAUUUUGAAGUCGCUGGUGAUGCCACCGCCCGCGGUCACCGCACGUGUUCUGGCCUCGCGUCGCGCCCCCGGGCCGGCCGCUGCGGGAGCAGCUACCACCAGGCACCAGCUAUAGCAAUCGCCGCUGCUGCCGUGCCCAAUCUCCGGAGAAACCGGCUGGCGGCAACGACGGCCCGGGGACGCGUCGAUCGUCGCGACGCGGUCGGUCGAUCCAUCCGUCGAUCUCCGUUCCGCUGCCGGUCCCCGCAAUCCUCCUCCAUCCAAUUAAUCCAGCCGCGCGCGGUGACCCGAUCGCCAGACAGCUUCGCCUUCGCAUCGCAUGAACCAACCACCACCACCACCACGCCGUGGGGUCGUGCUCCCGUCCCACCCCCACCGCACGCGCGCGCGCGGGUGGUGAACGCUCUCGGGAUCGAUGCCGACGGCCGGACCCCGGGACGGAUGGCGACCGGCAUGCCCGCCACCGCGACGCGAAUUAUAUAUGUCGAUCCCCGAUCCGGCCACCACUGUUAGGCCAUCACGCGGCGGCACGAGAUUUUAAUUCCGCCUUGCUCUGUUCCUGUGGUGCUGGGGAGGCAGAUUUAAAACUGGCGGUCUGGAACUUGGCCGAAGAUAGGAUCGGAGCAGCGCUAGCCGCGCACCAAUUGAAAAAGGUCGUUUGCUUUGCAGCAAAUUAAAAGGAAUGGUUACAGUACAGGCUCUUGCUACCACCACGUAACGCUAGCACCCUAGCUACCGUAUAAUCAAUCAUUGCUGUGCACGUAUGAAAUGUGGAUGUCGAAAUGUGCUGAACCCUAUCUGGUCAAGAAACCCCGCCUAGAUCGCGAACGAAUCAAAACGCAGAUGAGCAUGCAUGGUCUUUCACAUCAUCAUCAUCGUCACUACAAUGAUGAGCAAAGACGAAAACUAACACGAUGUUCUACAGCCAAUUUGCCAAGUCACAGCAAAGUGCAUGGCCCAGUGAAAGCUAAUUAACGUGCGCGCCAAACAUGUAUGUAAUCAGCAGUAGUCUUAUACUCUUAUACAAGAGAGUUGAAAAGAUCAAACGCCAGCUUUUCUUAUCCACAUCUUUACGUUAUGAAAAAAAAUGAAACAAAUAAUGGCGGAAUAACCCUCACAUCACUAUCGACCUAGUAAGCCAAAAAAACAGUCAAUAAUCAAGGGUACUCCUUCCAUUCCAAAUUGUAAGUCAUUCCAAGAAUCUUGGAGAGUCAAAGUAUCUCAAGUUUGACUAAAUUUAUAUGAUAAUAUAAUAACAUUUAUGAUGUCAACUAAGUAUCAUUAGAUUCUUUAUCAAUUAUAUUUUCAUAGUAUAUCUAUUUGAUGUCAUAAAUCUUUAUAUUUUUCUCUAUAAUUUUGGUCAAACUUAAGAUAUUUUGACUCUUGAAAAUUCUUAAAAUGACUUACAAUUUGGAACGGAAGGAGUACGCAAUAUUCUGAGUACGCAAUAUUCUGAAGCAAAGAGCGAGAUCCGACGAGAUACAACGCAAGCUGCUGGUGAAAGCAACUCAUCAAACAAAUGGGCAAUUCGCAGUCUUAUACAAUAAUAGAGUUUCGAACGAUCAUAUACCCCACCUCAUCUUCCUCUUAUCCAUAUUUUUCGCAUUUAUCUUCUUGGAGACUGACCGACCGAUCCACAUCUCUCCGGCCAUUAGCGAAACCAAAACCAACUACACGAACCAAAGGAUUUUUUUUUAAAAAAAAUGAUUUCGCCUCCCCCAAAUCAUGAAAAGAACACCAUCAUGAUCCGGACCAGUUUUCCUCAUAAAAUAAAAUGCAAGGAAAGGGGGAAAAAAGGGGGCCAAGACAAGUACUAGCACACGGACGCUAGAAUAUUAUUGAGAGGCGGGUCCCGGCCCGGUCGCCGUCGUCCCCUGCUACCGAGACACACCCCCAAUCGCCAUCGUAUAAACCCGCUUGGCUCGACGCCGCUAGCUUCCCUCCAUAUCCCAGCCAAGUCCCCUUCUUCAGACUCCACCUAACGUUACACCGGCCGGUCAGCCUCCAGUCCACCACCGCGCUCGACGUCUCGACGCUUCCACCCGCCGAGGGCCGGGCGCCGCACAGCCUCAAGUUCCCCGCGCGGGCGCGCGAGAGCGUCUUCGAGCCUCGCCCCGGCCCUUACACCCGCCGCGAGGUAGGGAGCUAGCUCCGGCGUCGACGCCCGUUCGUACGCACGGCACCGGGGCCGGGCGAGGGCGGCGCGGCACGGCGGGCGGCGGAGGAAUGCGGAUGGGGAAGUACGAGAUGGGGCGGACGCUCGGGGAGGGCCACUUCGGCAAGGUGAGGCUGGCGCGCCACGCCGAGACGGGCCGCGCCUUCGCCAUCAAGAUCCUCGACCGCCAGCGCAUCCUCGCCAUGAAGAUCGACGAGCAGGUGCGUGUCCUGUUUGGUCGAUGGCGAUCGAUUCCCUCUCAGCCCCGCUCUUUUCCUCCGAUCGAUCCUUUGCUCACCCAAGUUCUUCCGGUGCUGGGGAUGGCCGGCGCAGAUAAAGAGGGAGAUCGCCACGCUGAAGCUGCUCAAGCACCCCAACGUCGUCCGGCUCUACGAGGUCAACCACCCUCACAUCCUCCCCUCUCAAGAUUCCUGCCCGUUCUUGAAGAUUCCUGCCUGUUUCUUAGAUUAUAUUUCAUGCCGUUCUUUCCUGCUGAACUGAAUUAAAAAAAUACUGUUCUUGGAUGGGGAAGAAGAAGGGGAUGGGUAGUUUGGGCAAUUAAUUUGCGUGCGCCGCUGAUGGCAACUUGGCAAGCAAGCAGCUCUACCGUGCCGUUGAACUUGGCGAGUUGCGUGUGAACCUCGAGGCUGCGGCCAAACAUAGAAAAAUCAGGCCGCAGCCCAGUCGUCUAUACUCUUGUUUAAAUGUUUCGCCGAAAAAUAAUCAGAGAAGCUUCUUUGAAUAACAUUAUAGUCUCCAUAUGUUUAGUAAAAGUAAUGCCACUUUCAGUUUCCUUUCCUUGACUUGGACACCCACGUUAAACAAAGAAACACAUGGACGCCCUAAAGGACCUGCCGAAGUACAAAAUUUCCACCCAACUCAACCAAAAUCACCCAACCCAAUUAAGCUCCGACUGCCCAACAAAGAGGCCCCACCUGUUGCAUUCCAAGAAUGAUUUCUUUCCUUGUGGCUCUUAUUUUUAAUUUUAUUGUACUUCAUCCGGGUCUAUUUCCAGUUGGUGCAGUGCAGACUUGUUGUAUCAAUUUUUUUUCAACGAAAACUUGGCUGUACCAAUAAUUCAAGAAAAAGAUCCCGCCAUGAAAACAAACCUCCGGGAUGUCACGUCUCGGAUCCUCCAAAUCUGCUGACGGCCAUCGGGCGCUCUUGCAGACGACGAGAUCAUCAUCGUGUGCGAGGGUUGUCUGCACCCGAGGAUCACGUGAGAUCCCAGCCGUCAGACCUGAUGAUCCGAUGGCGGCUGUUCCUCCCAGCACGCCACACCGAGAUGAACGAGAUAGCGACGGAGUUUUCUUGUCCUGAGGGUUGCCUGGUUACCUGUACGAAGUCCGGAAGCCAGCUAGUGGAUAAAAUGGCUUUUCACUUGUAGAAGUGGCGUGCACGGUCCCAAUAAUUGGAUGCGCUGCGUCACCCACUCAUCCUCUCUGCAUUUCUUCAGGCAGCUUUUGGUCCUGCAAGGCAAAAGAAGGCUGCACAGCAUGAGCCCACUGUUUCACAUAUGCAUCUUGGGGCGUCAUGGUCUCACUCCCACAUCGCCAAGAAUUUCAUACAAUAACGUAUAGGUGAAGUGUUAAUCAGAGUAACAAAUGAAUGUGUUUGGUUCACUGACUGAUUUCAUUAGUGGGUGAUGUCCAUGUCAAGCUUUGCUUCCUGCUAGAGAAAUACGUAUUAGAAAACGAUGCCUGCCUGCUUUGGUAAUUGCCGGCAGACCGAUGUGGUAGUGACUCGGCCGGUAUUUUAGAUAGACAAGGCCAAAAGCUUUCUAGGCUGGGAAAAGUUGUUUUAACUUCUAGAAGUAAGACCAUUGUUAUGAUAAGGGCGAAAGGGUUAGAUAAGGGCAUCCUUUAUUGACAAGGACUACACCGAGUAAUAGUCUAUACUAAAAUUGGCACUAGAUUAAAGUAUAGAGUUCUACAAGAACAUAGCAGUAAUUCAUCCGUUUCAGAAAUGGACUGAACCUUACCUUUUCUUGUGCAGGUUUCAGCAAGCAAAACAAAAAUAUACAUGGUCCUUGAGUAUGUAAAUGGAGGAGAAUUAUUUGACAAAAUCGUAAGGAUUCGGCCCCUUAACUGUAAACUAGUCAUGAUGCAUUGUGAACCAAUGGAGCCAAUUCUUCAAUACGGUUUCUACUUUCUAAUGCAUAUCGGACUCAAUCUGUGAACUGUGAUACAUGUAGGCAUUGAAGGGUAAGCUGACAGAGAAGGAAGGGAGAAAACUAUUCCAGCAGCUAAUCGAUGCCGUAGGCUAUUGCCACGAGAAGGGGGUUUAUCAUAGGGAUCUCAAGGUAAUCACUAACCUAGCGUUUGAGACUUGAUAUUUUCUGAUACCAUGCAAUGAUGGAAAUAGUAAACAGAUUCCAUCAUUAAGACCUUUCUUCUGAACCUUUUGCAGCCAGAGAAUGUCCUUGUUGAUGCGAAAGGAAACAUAAAGGUAUCUGAUUUCGGACUAAGUGCACUUCCACAAAAUCAACGGGUACAGCAUUUUCUCUAACAUCAAAUCAAUCUCAAUCAUUUUUUCUGUGCCUAAAAUGAUGGCUCUUUUUCCAGAAAGAUGGUUUGUUGCAUACCACAUGUGGCAGCCCUAACUACAUAGCCCCUGAGGUACGACCUAAGCACUAUUUGUUUAGGGUUUAGGGACGCAUGGUUCCAUCAUUACUAUCUACUUCAGUUUUGAUUGGUGCACAUGGAAGAGGGAACACUGACAGUGGUACUUUUAGGUCCUUCUGAACAAAGGUUAUGAUGGCUCGAUGGCUGAUAUAUGGUCCUGUGGUGUUAUUCUAUAUGUAAUGCUUACAGGGAAUCUUCCAUUUGACGACCAAAAUGUGGUUGUCCUUUAUCAGAAGGUAUAGAACAAGGAAUGAAGCAUUACAGGAACAUAUUUGGCUAAUUCCAUUUGAUGCAACCAUAUCUCAGUGUGAUAUUUAUUUGUUCUUAGAUUCUGAAGGGGAAUGCUCACAUUCCAAAGUGGCUCUCACAAGGUGCCCAAGAUAUACUGCGAAAAAUUCUGGAUCCUAACCCAAUUACCCGCAUAGAUGUGGAUGGAAUAAGGGCACAUGAUUGGUUCAAGCAAGGUUAUACUCCUGCUGUGCCAUUUACUGAUGAUGAAGAUAUCAGCAUGGAUGAAGGCAGCUUAAAUGUGACUGAGGUAACCUAUGUGAGCUUUACUUAUAUUUUUAUAGUACCAUGUUUUAGGAUUUUAGCAGAGUGGUAAAGUCUGAAAUUUGUCUGUGUUUUCUGAAGCAUAAUGGCAUUCAAGACAACAUAGCAAUCAACCAAAUCAAUGCUUUCCAGCUCAUUGGGAUGUCCUCCUGCCUUGAUUUAUCUGGAUUUUUUGAGAAAGAGGUUAGCUCAACAUUUGUUUCAAUUUAAUUUUUAGCGUGUUUUAAUUUCCUUGCAUUUAGUUGGAAGGGUCCCAAUUGAGAUGGUAAUAAUGCUAAAAGAUAUAUGGAAAGAAUAACAGCCAGGAACCAGAAAUUGACAACUACGUGUCAAUAUUGAGCAUUAAUACUGUUAAGACUCUAGAGAUGUAGAUGUUUUUCAUUGUUGUUAUGACCUUCCACUAAAGUCAGGCAUGAAACUUGAAAUGCAGGAUGCUUCGGAAAGGAAAAUCAGAUUUGCAUCAAAUCAUUCCCCAGCUUAUUUAUUUGAGAAGAUUGGGAGCAUCGUCAGAAAAAUGGGUUUCCAAGUACAUAAGAGCAAUGGCAAGGUAAGUGAUCUCCUAAUGUAUCUAUGGACUUCUGGUUCUAUGUGUUCAGAAUCAGCACGUUGAGAAUCAUAUUAUCAUGUCCUGCAGCUAAAAGUGAUCCAAGAUUGCAAGGGAUCAGCAAAUUCCAGAGGGAAAGAAUCAUUAUUAAUUUCUGCGGAGGUAUUUAUAUUACAUAACAGAUUCAUAGUUUAAAAAUAAUUUAAUGCAGCUGUCUUAGAAUGGUGCCUAGUGUGUUCCUAUCAGACAUUUCUUGUUUCUUUUUUAUGAUGUUUCUACUUGACAUUCUUAUUCUAAACACUGGUAUUAUGAUUCCAGGUGUUUGAGAUCAAUGAAUCUCUUUAUGUUGUCGAGCUAAAGAAGUCAUCUGGAGACUGCUCCCUGUACAGAAAGGUAUUGCUCCCUCCCUUGACUAUCCUGUAUUUGAAAGGCUUGAAUUUGUUACUGGUCAUUUCAUUUUUAUCAAAUAUUUUAUUCAUUGUGUCUGUCAUCUUGUUUCAAUGAUGCAGUUGUGUGAGACGCUCUCAGAGGACUUGGGCAUAUGCAAAAGCCAGCAACUUUUAAAGCAAGAUUCUAUUAAACAAGAAAUAGGUAGAUAUAAUAGUAGCUUUUAACAAAAAGCCCCCUGCUAACUAAGCAGUAGACAGAAACUAACAAAAACAAUAUACUGAAUUUAAAAAACAGUAUAUUGGCCACGCACCUAUUACAAGUGUGCGUUCUUAUGCCUUUUGUCAUGAAUCUAGCCUUUAGAGGCUUAGAUCACAACAAAUUGGCAACUGACAUGUAUGGAAUUUCUCCUAAUGGAUAAUAUGAUGUAAACGAGUAAACUAUACAUAUAAGGGUUUCUGAGUUACCUGGUCCCUUUGUUUCUCUUAUAUAUUGAUACUGGAAUGUAAGAUUCUUUCCUUCUGAAGCCCCUGACUGACUUUCACGACUCAAGAAAGAGAUUAUGAUAUGCUGUUACUUCGAAUGAAGUCCUUUCAGAUGCAUGUUCAACUAAAGGAACUCUCAAGCUCUUGGAUAUAAGAUAACGGCUCCUGCACAGUGCAGUUGUUUUGGUACAAGUUUGUGGCUUCACCAGUAGUCCUUGCAUGAGCAUUGUCCUUCACUGAAAUGGUGGAAACGGUUACGGUCUCUAAUGAUUAACUUGCGAUUGUAUACCAAGGAAAUAAGCUUAAUAGCUGAAUGGCAGUCUUCACAAGCUCUGAGAUUCUUUGUUACUCGGAGAGUUGACCCUGCAGGAGAGGUUAGCAGACCAAAAGCAAUGGCCAACUUCUCACUAUGUUCAGCCAAUGCACGCUCCUUAGAUUGCUCAUCAAUGUCUUGCAAGACUAAGCCUGUCAUUGGCCUAUAUCCGGCUUGUCUUAAGCGAUCCAUCAUCUCUUCCAGCAUUUUGUAGAUCUCCUUGGACAUUGGAUGUGAUCUAUCGCCAGAAACAAACUCAUGAAUUGUGUUCUGCCACUCAAUCGAGCUUCUUCCAGGAAUUCUCUGAAUGUUCUCCCUCCUAAGCAUGGUCCUCAUCUCUGCAACACCUUCCCACGAAUUUGCUUGUGCAUAUAUGUUUGACAGUAAGACAUAGUGCCCGUCGGCAUGAGGAUCCAAUACUCGCAGUUUAGCCAUAGCUUCCUCUGCAACUUCUACAUUCUUAUAGAUGCGACAAGCCCCAAGAAGUGCCCUCCAUAUAACUGCAUCUGGCUCAAAUGGCAUGUCCCUGAUGAGUUGCCUUGCCUCCUCAAUAUGACCUGAUCGCCCCAAAAGAUCGACCAUGCAUCCAUAGUGCUCAACUUUUGGUGCUACACCAUGCACUGCACUCAUUGAGCUGAAAUACUUCUUGCCAUCACUGACGAGACCAAGAUGAGUGCAGGCUAUAAGAACUCCAAUGAAGGUAAUCUCAUUUGGUGGCAAUCCUUCUGAUACCAUCCUUGAGAACAAGCCGAGAGCAUCAUGGCCAAGCCCAUGAUUGGCCAACCCAAUGAUCAUCGAGCUCCAAGUCAGCACAUCCUUUGCUGGCAUAGAGUGGAACACUCUCAGUGAAUUCUCGAUGUCACCGCACUUGGCAUACAUGUCGAUAAGAGCAGUCCCAAGCUUGACAUCCACCUCAAUCCCGUUCCUCUCUACAAACUGAUGCAUCUCUACACCAACGGCCAGCGCCCCCAUGUCUCCACACGCGGAGAGCACGCUCACCAUGGUGAUGCAGUCUGGGGUGACACGGGCCGCACACAUUUCUCGCCACAGCUCCAGCGCCUCCUUGGACCGCCGACCUUUGGUGUAUGCUGACAUCAUCGAGCUCCAGGAGAAGGCGUCCCUGUCAUCCAUCCCGUCGAAUAUCACCCUUGCCAUGGAGACGUCUCCCUUCACCGCGUACCCGUGGAUCAUCGUGUUCCAUGAGACCAUGUCUCUGUCGCGCAUUCCGUCGAACACCUUUCUCGCCUCCACAACCUCGCCGCGCGCAACGUAUGCCGCGAGCAUGACGUUGCAGAGGAACACGUCCCUGCGCGGCGACUCGUCGAACGCGGCGCGCGCGAGGUCCGCGCGCCCGGAUUUGGCGUAGGCCUCGACGAGCGCGGUGCGCACGAAGAGGUCGGCGGCGGCGAAGCCGGACUUGAGCGCGCACGCGUGGAGGGACGCGGCGCGGAGGCUGAUGCGGAGCGUGGCCGGCACGGAUCCCGAGACCGCAGCGGUGGCCUGCAGCGCGAGUGAGAGGGAGAAGGAGUUGCCGAGGAGGCGAGGCGCCCGCGGCAGCAGCGAGCGGAGGAGGAGGAGGGCUUGCAGUGGGAGGCACGCGCGGAGGUAGCCGCGCAUCGCGGUGGUGACGAGGAACGCGUCCGGGCACGCCGACUUGACGAGGCGCGCGUGCGCGGCCAGGUGCUCCGGCCGCGGCGCCGCCACCGCUCCACCUCCACCGCCCCGCACGCGCAUCGCGCGAGAGAGCUCGCGUCGCGAGGCGUUCGAGUUUUGCAGCGGCGGGACCGCGGGAGAAGGGAAACCGCGCGGGCUUCCUGCUACUCUCAGUCAUAGGGAGGGUUCUGGCCGUCGGAUCGGCGGACGGGAGAUCUGACGGCUGAUGAGAUGCCACCGCGGCGUCCGGGGGGCAGCAAAGCUCGUGGAAUGGCUCUCGCCGCUCGAUUCGUACGCGACUCGCGAGCCUUCUCCACCGACCUGACACCUGACCAGGCAACGCCUCGCCGCCGCCGCCGGAGACGGGGCCGGCGCGGCACGAUGAGGAGCAGCGAGGCCAUGGAGCUCCUGGGCUUCCCUCCCUACUCCCGGCCGUCCCCUUCCGAGGUCCGCCCUUGAUUCCCAUCUUUCUCUGUGCUCCUCCGCGAAUGCGAUUCAGCCUGAACUGCUCCUGGUUGCGUAGUCGCUGCUCCGCCAAUUUCUGAGCUGAUUCUGGUAGAUUUUGGUCAAAGAGGGCGAAGGUUGAGGAGAUUUUGCCUGUACGCUUCCGAAUUUUUCAGUUUGUACUCUUCAUCUUUACGAUGCAGGUAAAGGCUGCGUAUAGAAGAAUGGUCAUGGAGUCUCAUCCCGAUCGUGUCCCAACGCAUCUGAAAUCUCAGGCUGAGUUAAAAUUCAAGGAGGUAAGGUAAAUUUUUAGCAAAGAGCUUAAUACCACCAUGUACGUUCGUCAAUAUUGCUUGCUAUUGUUCAUCCUGAAACUGUUUGCUUCAUUCUCAUCUGCACUUAUGAUUUGAGCAUUAUAGCAAGCAUCGCUGCCAGUUUUAUAUGCUAUUCUAGUAUCUAUAGGAUUCUUUAACUGACCAACAAGGCAUUUCUGAUCAGAGAUGGUCCAUAUUGAUAUGUCCACAUAGACAUCAGGUAUAUUGCACAAGCAAUUGUAGUGCAUUCCUAGCUUUGGUUUUUCCUCCCCUGUACUUACAAAACAUGUGUUUAUACUUCGCAGAUAUCAGAAGCAUAUUCUUGUUUGAAGGAUGGUAUGUUCUUACUCGGAUAAUCACUACUUGCUUUGAGAAAACUAGAGGCAGUAAGUUGCUUACUGUGGUAUGAUGUUCCCUGAUGAGUUGUAUCUCCUCCAUCGUUUGCAGGAAGAAGAUCAGGGAGUAGGAUGGAAGGUAAACUCGAUUGCAUUACGAAAACCAUUCACACAAUCUAUAUAGCUAAUGAGCUUUUUUUUUUCCCGACCAAACCUAAUGAGAUAUAUCAUUCACACAGUACAUGUUAUGAGGUCUGGUGUUCCAACUGGAUACGGAAGAUCAAAUAAAGCACUGGUUAAAGCACCAUUUCUACUCAUAAUGUUUGCAGCAGUUUCUUUUGGUGCCUUCAGCGCCUCAAGGUAAGACACACUUAGAAUUUUUUCCAUUUUGUUUUUCUUAGCACAUUCUUUCUUACCUAAUUGAUGAAAUCGUUUUUGGAUUUAUGAAGAGCGUAUCAACGGCAAAAGGAACUCUGUUCCUCUCAGAACCCCUUUCUACCAUAGAGGAAAACCAUUGUACUGUGUCUAUAUUCAUAGGCAAGAAGAGUAUCUUACAUUGUACAGAUGUAAACAAGUCACACACUGAAUAAAAGCAAACUUUCGUGCGUUAUGACUUUGUUGUUCCCGAGCAUGUGAAAUCAUAUGGUUUUGGCUUUCUAAUUUCGUCUGACUUUGCUGUUUCUUGUUGCUAUCUUCAAUGGUUGACCUUUCUUUUGAAAUUGCUCCAUGGGCAAGCAUUCUUUAUGUUGAACUGUUGGGUGUCAUGGCAGAUAGACAAGGUUGUACAGUUUAUUGAUCAAAGGAACUGUCAGAAUGUGCCUUCAACAAAAGCUGCUUUCAGAAUUCAGACAUACCCAUCUGUUAAGACUACGGAAGGGUUUCAACUAGUCGUUUCAGAUUAUGAUAUGCUCUGGUGCAAGAUAAGUGUAUGGGAUAUAUGAACCAAUGUAAAACCUGUUAAUUGCAUACGCUGUGUCGAAGCACAGCCACAAAAUACAGACGUGAAGCAUCUCGCAGAAACGUAGUGAUUCUAAGUUUGAGGGAGUUCUUAACAGCAGAAUCACACGCGCAACAGCAGUAACAUGUAAUGUAAAAGCAUUUAACAAAAUCAGCAACCAUUAAACUGCUAAGCAACAUGGCAACCAAAGCGCUGAGCAGAAUCAGCAACCAGCAUGAGAUUUACAACCAGCCAUAGUUUUGAGAACUGUCAGCAUUACAAGAUGCAUACCACCAUCUAAAGUGGGAAGAAGCAAAGAAAGACACCAAAAGGCGUUUAGAUUUACUCCAAACCUUCCCCCAAGAAUGGCAGACACCAAAUAGGUAACCUACUAACCUUGCAGCAAAUAGCAUGACUGUCUUGAAUGCAGUUUGUUUGCAUUUCAGAAUCCGUUGCCAUGCAGCAAAAGUAGAAAUCCAGAUAGGAUCAAUCAUCCAGAGCCACAUGGAGUCACUGAACUUCACAUGAUCCAUCCAUUCAUGUUCGUUGCUGUGAGUAUAUGUAGAAAAUGGGGCUUCAAUAAUGAUAGUUCAAGACUUCAAGGCUUCAUAGAGUAGCUUAAUUAGCAGCAGCUAUGCUCAUACUAUGGAAUAUUUCCUCGAAAUCAACUCAUAUUUUGAGGAUCCUUUUAAACCAUCUAGGUAUAAUGAGAGCAUAUAGUAACCACCAGCAUCAGGGACUGAUUUACUGCCUGAACAAAAGGCGAUAGUCCUUCAGAACUACUUUAUAGUCGAUCGCAGAAUUAUCUUACCACAGCAACUAGCACCCAUAAGAAUAACCGCAACCAGGCUAACCGCGACGGAGUUCUUUUAACAGGCCAAAUGGUGUAUUGACAGACAGACUCCCACUAAGACAUAACAAGUCUGAGAACUACUCCCUCCGUCCCAUGAAGAGUGCAAUUCUAGUUUUUCUAGGACAGAUUAGUGGUGGCGUGAAAAGGCUAAUACCCUCAUUUGUUGGCCACAUGCAGUAAGUUUUAGCAUGCAAAACAGAUCUGACCACUUAAUUAGGCAGGUAGUUAGAUCUAUUUUCUAGGAUUGCACUCUUUUGUGGGAUUUUUUUCAAAAGCUAGGAUUGCACUUUUCAUGGGAUGAAGUACUUACUAUUCCACUGCUGCUAAGAUAUGUGUAAAACUACUUAAUAUCCCGAAACCUGGCAAAAUGCAGAUAAAAGCACUGUGCCAGGAAACUUCAACAGAACUUAGCUUUUGCAGACACAGAUUUGCACCGACCACCAGAACCUCAAAGUGUUCAUUUGAUAUGAGCAGACAAAUGUACCAAUGCUAAGCAUUCCCGCUAGCAUCUGUAGUCGCAUCAGCCACUAUUAUGUUAAAGGACAAUGGCUGCCACCCUGAAGAAUUUGGCACAAACCACUUUUUUGUAUUGAUUAUGAUAUUCAGAACCUGAAGAACUUCACCAAGGGCAAGAUUCUUCAGGCAUGUUUUCUUCAACAUAGCAGCAGCUUGAUACCUACAACCAAAAAAGAAUUACAAUAGUACAACCACACUCAGCCUCAGGGAAAGUAUGAUAAAAUUCGACACAUAUUUCUGGGUAAUGGAGCCUCACCUAGACUGAGAAUUCUUUAUCGCAGAGUAACCAUGGGCAGAAGAUAUGAAAGUAUGAACAGAAUCUAGAGUUUCUUUUGGGUAUUUUGCAUUAUCAUCCAUUAUAUUGACACAUUUCCAGAGAUUUUCAUUCUUCCCAAGAAAGAAUGACAUUUUCCCUAACUUUUUCGUGACAACAACUUGAUGCUGCAUGGCAACCUGAAGAGCCUUCUUGACAUCAAAAUUUGGUAGAUUAGCAUCCCCAUAAUGUAUACAAUCUGCUAUAUUUUGUUCUGUUGGGGGAAUCUUCUCAGUCUUCAAUACUUCCAAAGCACCUAAGAUAUAUCUUACAAGACCUUGAGGGUCCAAAGAUGGUUGUGGACAUCCCAGGUUGGCUCCCCAGUGUCCAGUAUUUUGCAUGUUGCUAGGCAUGUUAGGUUGAGUUGGAGGUCUGUAACUAUGAUCACUGUAACCAGGUUGAACCAUAUGAGGGGCACCAGGAUGGUUUGGAUGGUAAUUGACAUUCAAACCUUGGUUAUUAUGAAUUCCUCUAGGGUAUUCAGAAAUAUUCAGCCGACUCAUAUCAGGAUAAUUGAUUGGUGGUCCAUGAUAAGGUGGGCCGCCUUGCCAGGAUUGCAACGGUGCAGUAGGAAUACCAUUAUACCCAGCUGGUGCUGGACAUGAGUUGCUUCUAUGUGAAAUUGAUGAUUGAAAAUUGCUAGAUCCACCAUGAGGACGAUGAUUCACUGGAUUCUGUGGUCUUGGUUGCUGAGAGGAUUGGGGUUUCUGAUGCUUUGGAUGACCAUGGCUAUUAACAUCUGAAGCACCAUUUUUAGAUGAAGACUCGGUUGACAUACCAGGCUUCUUACCAUGAUAAAAGUCAUGAGGAGCGCUCUUUUGAUGGGAAAGAGCAGAUUUUACAGGCUUUUUGGACAGGGAAAAUGGCUGAACUUUUGGUGUAUUCAGCUGAUCCACCUGUGCCCCAUCUUGCGAAUCAGAACUAGAUAAUGACGCUGAUGAUGGCGUGAGAGAUUGAUUUGGUUGGCUAGCAAUGCUUCCUUUAGAACUAUCAGGUACUCCAUCAACUGAGUUUUCCUCAGUCCUUGUUGGUUUAGAUACAUUGUCUGACUGGUUUUUCCGAGGUUGCCUAACUUUAUAUUGUUUAUCUCCCUUUCCGUUACCACCUUUUUGCUGAUCAAAUGGAAUGUUAUUCAGCACUUGAGUACUGUUGUGUGGAGUUGCAUCUGAAGAAUCUGAAAGCAUGUUCUUCAACGCAUCCGAAUGAUCCAUGCUGCCAUUUGCUAUGCUACUUAUGUAUGGCGACUCUGCCAAUGGUGGUUCCCCAGCCACAAGGCUUUUCCAUAGCCAAACAUGUUUUGCUGCAGCUGUAAGUGCUUGAGACACAUUUGGAGGUUGUGCUAGUAGAAUAUUAUACCGUCUCUGUACUAGCUUAUGAAGUGCAUUUGAGAAGUCCCGGUCACCAGAUAUUAGCAAAUAAUUUGCUGGUGGAGGGUUGUCAAUAGCCCAGAUUAACAUGUCAACUAAGAUCUUUUUAUCACUUGCAUCUUUAAUGCCUGUCAUUUGUUACAAGAAAACAAACAAUAAUAAUAAUUAGACAACAUUUAGACAUCGCAUAGAUGAACAGAGAAUUGUUGGACAUUCAGUGCAAAUGCAUGAGUUUUAGAAAAAUUGCUUGAGUGUGCCAAGAUUAUUGUAUGCAAGCUAUGUUAAAAUUAAACUUGGAAACAGAUGACAGUAAUUGGUAGUUGUGCCAAGUCUGCUGGCCAAUCGCUGUAAGGAUAUCCUAGUUUAGUGCAGUCAACCAAACAUCGGCAAAUAUUACAGAUAGAAAUGCUAAUUAAACAGUACUUUUCAUUACUCAUUCACAGGGGCGGAUCCAACGUGGGGGCUGGAGCCCCCCCUACUCCCAUGGAGCCCCCCAAAGCCCCCUCCCCCCCCCCCCCCCCCUACAAAUUUUAGACAUAGAUGAAGAGGAGGAAGGAGAAAAGGAGGAGGAGGAAGAAGGGAAAGAGAGGAUGGAGGAAGAAGAAGAGAAAAUUGAGCCCCCCUGUUGUGUGAUCCUGGAUCCGCCCCUGCUCAUUCAUAAAGAAAGUAGCUUUUACAAUAGAUAUAAGACUAGCACGCAUGCUUGUAAUUGUAAUAAAAAUUAGUUCAGAUACUAUACUAGUCCUAAGAAAAAACAGGAUAAUAAAAAAAUAUACCAUGGGAACAAUCAACCUAUUAAAUACACUAAAUCAAAGGAAAAUACAUGAUAAUUAGAAAAUUCAAAACAUAGUGUGUAAAUAUAAUCAAUAGUCUGGUCAACAAACAAAAGCAAACAAACACAGCAGACUCCACAAUCCCACCAGCUAUCACUUCGAGAGAAACCACAUUUCUAAAAUUCCACGAACAAACCAAAAGGUCAAACAUCGUAAACCCUAAAUCAAUCACUUUCCCAACCCACACCCGGCAACCCCACCAAUGCCAGCAUAAUCCACAAGCCAAAAAAAGUAAAAACCAUCAGAUGAACACAUCUCCGAUAAGGAAACUUCCAAACCCUAAGCUUCCACAGUUAUCCCCAAGUAUCACAACAGAUCCAUCGAACAGACGCAAACGAAAGCGUUGAAAGUGACUAGUGCAGCAACCCGGCUAUUCAGUUCAGAGGCAAUCGGAACGGCUCAAUCCGCAUGCAUUGGCCAGGGUUCAGCGGAUCAACUCGCGACGAGCCAUUAGGGAACAAUUGGGGGUGGUUGCCUGGUUGGGGAGUACGGGGCAGCGGGGUAAUCCGUACCUGCGGGGACGUGGUUGAGGGCGAUGCCGGUGCUGGAGAGGGCGUGCUGGACGGGGUUGGGGACGCAGUUGGUGUCUCCGUAGGCGGAGAUGGUGAUGGGGCCGGUGUAGCCGGCGGCUGUGAGGGCGGAACUCAUGUUCUGGGCGAUGAGGUGGGCAUCGCAGUUGCGGGGGACUUGGCAGUUCUCGAUGUCCCACCACACCGAGGUCUUCACCGUUGCGUACUCCCCCAUAGUCGCCGCCGCCGCCCGCCCCGGUUUCGCCGGCGAGUACGGGGGGGUUGGGGGUUUUUUAUGGUUUGCGACGGCGGCGGCGUCGAGGUGGCCUUGAAGGAAGGUACUGUUUUUCUGUUUAAAAAAAGUGUUGCAAUUUUGCUGCCAAGUGGAGAGCUUAUAAUAAGGGGGCAGGUUGGUUUCCUUGUUUUUACAUCCCGUAUUAAAAAAAAUUAAGCUUUGUGAUACUAUUCCUCUAAUGAACUUCCUUUCUCUAAUGGCACAAAAUGGAUUCCAUUACGGAAGAUUUUGUAUAAAUAAGGUCACUUGCGACAUAGAGUUCUCCUAACAUAGAACCACAGAGUCCAAUCCAAAGGAUCAAAAGAAUCCUGAACCUAAAUCUUGUGGAUAGUUCUCUAAAGUUUCAUUAACAUUUGUAUAGUUCCAUUAUAGCUAGAUAAUUUUGAGUCUUUGCAAACGAGCACAGUAAAUCGAGCUUUUUAUAUUUUUAUAUUUUGGUUAAGAAUCAUAUAAAUAUGUCAUAUGUAAACAAAGCUCUUCUUUGAAUGAACCCAAUACCUAAGUGUUUCUAUAGGAAAUAUAAGAUAUAUAAAACUAGUAUAGUUUCUAUUUACUCCGGAAAUGUUUAAUCUAAAAGAAGCUACAUAAUUUUAGUUAACAAUAAUUCAUGGGGACAAUACUACAGCACAUAAUGAUGUGACGUUCACACUAGACAAGUAGAUAUCAUCCUCAACUCGUCUCAUGUUAGAUGGAUAUAUUCGUUCCUUCUUCGUACCGCUCUUGCUACGAUUUUAAUGCAAAAUUUGUAUUUCUAAGUUUCCCAAAAAAAUGAAAAAAAAUCUUAAGAGGACCUAUAUCCACUUAUAGAUAUGUAGAUAAAAAUAUUAAUAAGAACCUUCUCAAAAUGUCAUGCAAUUUAAUAUAGUUCAAGUCAUGCUGAAAAAAGUUAGUAUCCUAUGACAGUCGAUGGUUAUUCAAGUGUAACCAGUAAAAAGAAAAUAUUCUAGUAACAUAUUCAGAUCAGUUAAAUAAUACAUUCUACCGUCGAAAAGUGGUGCGAAAAUAUUCCUUCAACUACUUGGAAAAAAUGUUAGCCUAUGAACAUCUAAACAUCUUACUCUUAUAGGCAAACCAUCUUACUUUUUCGGUCGAUGGAAGAUGUCAAGUUACAUUUAUGGGUUUUACAAGCGGAUGACCUUUCAUUAAUGGAGGGUACAUACCAUAAACCACCUAAAAGCAAAGCAAAGCAAAUAAAACUACAACAUACUGGCAUAAGAACAAGUUGCACCACCGGAGGACAAGCAAAAGCAAAACAAAGCCAAUGCCGCCGCGUCAAAAGGCAAAAACCAGAAAGCUAAAAUCCACAAGGGUUACGCCGAACCGACUGCGGCAGAGCGGAAAGCUGCUCGCUGGUUUCGGUUUGCUUCUCUCGUGGGGCUGCCGGAGCUCUUCCCCGUCCGCUUUACACGGCUGCUGGCACUGUGCCUUCGAUCUUCUGCAGCAGGCGAGGGGGAGCCUCGGCAUGCGAGCCGCAACCGUGCGUCAUUUUUGUAUCUUCUCAUCCUCUGCAGCUGCGAACCUGCAAAUCUCACACGGAGGGGAACAGAAGGUUCUGUUCAGAGCUAGCACGUGCACGUCACGUGCCUGGGGGCCCACUGCUCAGUGACUUGCAGAACUCAUAAAAUUUUGUAGAGGAUUGGGGAUUUGGGAUCUGUAGUUGUAAUGUAAUCUGUGUCCCUUUCCCGUAAUAACUGCACGAGCAGAGCUUAAAGGCUCCACCAACACUGACAGGAUGACGCUCCGUUUCAAACUUUUUAGUCUUCUUAAUUUAACAGGCAGUAGUCGAGUUCAGAUAGAUGUUUAAUCAUCGUGCGAGGAUUUUCUCAGCGACCAAAUAUGCUGCUGGUGCUGGUAGAGGUUCCAGGCGUGAGGCGGUGACACUGCAUUUGCUUUCGUUCUCUGUGAAGCCGAACUUUAUUCCUUCAGGCAAUCAGGCACGGGAGUGAUUACAUCGCACAGAGCAGGGGCAGCAGACCAGAGAGGCAGAGAGCUUCAUCACGCGAAUGGCAGAUCACUCAAGUUGGUUGAGAAAUCCCUGUAUGCAGCAGGGCGGUGCUUCUCCAUCACGGGAACUUGAGCUGGGCUCAAUGCGAAGACUGCAACACUGAAUCACUGAUCCCACAAUUCAUCAGACCAGAGCUUAGAGGUACCACAGCUUGUAGUUGUAGAGACCACCCAGUCUUCAUUGCUUUUUUUUUAUAAAGGGUCUUCAUUGUUUGUUGAUGAAACUAUACCACUUCAAAGACUGCACAGUGCUGAAUUCAGACUCUGUACAACAAGGUGCAGUUGAUGAAAUAGCUGCUACUCAGAGUGAACUGCACUUUGCGAUCAGCAUCAACGCUCCAAGGGCCCAUUUAUAAUGCUAAUUUCUGGGAGGCCACUGCUAACAAUGCUGAUGGACUAUUUUUUCUGAAACCCGGCAGAGGGAUCAUACUAAUAACAGAAGUAUGAGUGCCUCUGCUCCCAAUGCAGCAGAGCUGAACGAUGGAAUCGAGGGGACUAGAAGAUAGCAACCAGCUAUAGCUAUAGGUGGCUGGCCCGUCAGGACAAUAUUUGCAGACCAGCACCGGAUUGUAUUACAAGAAGAAGAGCAUCCUAAUUACAGGAAGAUCAGGACAUCAAAUCGAGUCGUCAAGGCAAGGGCUCCUCUGAAUCUCCCAGCCGUGACAAAUGGAGGUAAGCAUCAGUACCUACAACAACGAAACAAUACUGCUGUAGCACAUGAACUGCGGAUAAACAUGGUUAAUUCGUGCUGACUGAAUAUGAGUCGACCAAGUGGAGUAUGACCAUACCAUAUCCUUCCAUAGAGAUGAUUUGCAAGUCGCCACCAAAGUACUGAGCAUAAAGGCGGCUGAUUGGGAGCCCGAAACCAUAUCCGGCCAUAGUUGCUCCUUCAUUAGGUCCAUCUAGAUCAGGUGGAUUCUUUGCAGUGGUAUAGAGAUAUGUGAAAAUUUUUGGGAGGCCACUUCUCGCUAUCCCACCACCUUCAUCACUAACCUGCAUUAGCAAAGCGUUCAAGCUUAAACAUCACAUUGUGAACAUCAUAUUUAGUUUUCCAUAUGCAGAAAUACGUAUUGCCUUGGUCCACAAACAAGUUUAGAAAAAAAAAUAGCUGUCACAUAAAAGAGAAUUAUAUCUAGCACUUGACUUUGUAUAAGUUACAAUUAAGUUGAUUGGUAUAUUAUUGCACUUUGCAUUAAAUUUCAGCGAAAUGCCAGUGGAAGUUCCAUCAAUUUUAGAUAAGUUUACAGGUUUCUAUAAAGUUGCUAAAUAUAGUAUUGCAAUGAAAAAUAUCCUGAAAUUUACUAAUUUUCCAGACUAGCUUUCAUCAGUAAAUAGCUGUACCAACAGUUCAUGCAUGAUAGGUGAUGUCAGACUACUACCUUGAUAGUAACAUCCUCUUCUCCAUCAGCAACUAUAAUUCUAACUGGGGGAACAUCUUUAUCAGAAUUCAUAUAUCGUUCUUGCACUGCACGAAGGGAGUUCUUCACCAAUUCAAAUAACAUCAGAUGUAGGUGUAAUGCCACAUAUCUGUAUUCAGUGAAGUCAAAGAGUAAGCUAGCAUUUCAUUUUUGUAUAUUUAUUUUCAAUAAAAAUGAACACAGCCAAACUAUGUGAGCUAUAAGAGGCAUCCAAAUUGAAUAUAAAACAUAUUUUAGGACAACACAACCACAAACAAUAUCCUCACUAAAGAUCAAGCCGUCAAAGGUAACUCACGAGAGAUUAUAAGACUUACGGAAAUGUAAAAUUUGGAUCGCCAUAAAUGUUAAUAUCAGGAGCUGAUCCAUAUUCCCUUAAACAAAUAGCACGGGCGUCUUCGCUGGCAGCUUGAGCCACCUGUACGGGGGACAAUUUUGUAUUGAUGAGGCCUAUGACGCCAGGCUCUGGUUCAGGAUCAUGCAAAGCCACAUGCUGCCCUGAAAUUAAGCAAGCACGAAUAACUCAGGCCACGCAUCUAAUAACAACAGAGACUCGAUUCCUGUUAAUUAUUUGAUUUAGACCUACGCAUGGGGCCAAUAAUAUGCUCCAUGUUUCAAUUUAAAGUGGAACAAAUUUUACACAGUGGUGGCAAAUAUGGAUAGUGUAAUUGAUACAGUGGCACAAAUCUAAUUCUUUUCUACUAUUCUAGCUGACCCAAGAUAGAGUUUAGCAAAAAAAAAAAAACAGGCUGAAAAGUGCACUCUGCUUGAUAGAUUUACAGAGAAAUUUCGUCACUAGACUGGUUUCGGCGAAAAGGUAGUAUUCCCGUUACUACAGUAACUUCUAGACAAACUACCACGUAAUGAGAGAAGAUUUGGCAUAGCAUGUCCAAGUACUAAACUGGACAAGAACGAAUUUUCCAGUAGAUUUUACCCUUCACAAAUUAAGCUCCUGACAAAAAAAAAGUUCGAAGGUUGGCAAACCUAUCAGCAUGCGGAUGCCAAUCCUUGACAUGUAGAAUCGAUCAAGGAACUCAUGGAUCUCAUCAAAUCCAAAGGGAAUAUUCCUUGCGCGGCACAGGUGGUGCUUCAGCUGCUGCACCCCCAAAGCCAUUGUUGGAACCACAUUAUUAUGCCGCACCUUGACCAUUUUAAUCAUCUCUGUGAAAGCGAGCUCAUCGUUCCGAUUUCUCACUUCUGGGAAGUAUCUGAUGUCGCGGAACGAGUCCAAGUACCAAUCCCUCACCUUAAGAAACAAACAAUUGUUAAUAGACCAAACAUCGGUGCCACUCCCACAUCAGAAUGGUCAAUUUGGUAAGAAUAUUCAUUUGGUUAACGAAAUCUCUGUCUCUCAGUAAAAUAUACAUUCUUUGCUGACUUCAGGUAUUAUAGUAUUGACCAGGAAAGGUAAAGGAGAUGAAAAAACCCACUAGGCCAAAAAAAUAGUAAGCAAGACACCAAGCAAGGCUGCAAGAAUCUCCCAGAAUUUGCUUUUCAAAAGGAAGAAUCUCCCACAUUUAAAGAUUCCUUCUCAUCCAAAAAAACAACCUGUUGUUCCUCCAACAAAUGCAACUACAAUCUCGUAAGAACGAGGAAUCAAAGAAUAAUUUUCUAGUGGCAAAUCAAAAUGAGACAUGAGAGUGAAUGUUGUACCACGAGUGGAAUCGAAAGAAACAGACCUAAAAAAAAGAAAGAAAGAAAAGGAAGCAGCAUCUAC